AUGCCCACAGGAGGUUCAGUAGCUGAUAAAGACGCACUUUGCUGAUUUCGGAGCAGUGAAGGAGAGAGUUGCCAAGAAGGUGGAGAUGGACCGUCGAGCAGCAGAGCCAUCUUCCUAUCACUCCAGAGAGUCAGAGGGGGUGUCCACUCUAGAUGACAAGGCACGGAUCUAGGCUGUCAUGCAGGCGAGCCCAGAUGAUCAGUGGUAGCAAGAUGAGGUAGCUAUGCAUAAGGCUCGAUUUGGGCCCUCAUACUACGAGUCGAGUUUCGGUUCUGCGAGCAACAGGCCAGAUCUAGAGUUCAGGAGGACCACCUCAGUCAGAAAGGCCGUCAGCAGAGACGAUGGCCGGAUUGCAUCUAUGAUGGAGGCUUUUGGUAGCAGAAAGUAGUCAUCUAGAGAGAUUCCACCAGCAGCAGCAAUCCAUGAUUUAAUUCUACAUGCCUUCCCCACCAGAGAAUUGAUUUAAUGCUGAAGAAGGAUAAGAAGAAGAAUAUGUGGCGAGCUAUUAGAAUCUAAUUCCACUUCAGCUACAUCCAAACGAAUGUAGCAGACAAUACGUACUAUAGAUUUGUCAUUUCCGCCAUACAGGCUAUCGGUCUUGGUGUAGAUCCUCCAGGCCUGAAGAAUAUCUACAGUAAACUUCUUGACAGUAAUAAAGAGCUAGAGAAAUUGAUUGCCUCCUACAAGAACAAGUGGCCUACAUAUGGAUUGACUGAUGUGUGAUGGUUGGACCGGGCCUACUAGACGAAGCAUCAUCAACUUUCUAACAUAUUGUGAUAUGAAGACUUUCUUCCACAAGUCGGUUAAUGCUUCUAAUCAAGUGCUCGACGCCGCGUACAUCCUCAAACUGAUGGAGGAGGUGAUUGAUCAAGUAGGAGAGAAGAAUAUCGUGCAGGUCAUCACUGAUAAUGGGGCGCAAUAUAAAACUGUCAAAAAGAUCUUGAUGGAGCAGCGGUCAUAUAUUUUCUGGACCCCAUGUGCUACACAUUGUAUCGGCCUCAUGUUGAUAGACAUUGUGACGAUUCGUGGGUGCAGCGGAUAAUGGAGACAGCCCAAACCAUCACCAGGUUUGCUACGUGAUCCUUUCACUGAUGACAUAGGCUAUCAAGUGCAAUGUAGUUGGUAGCAAAUCGUGCGACUCAUGGUCUCAAGAUCUCUCUAUGCCAGAUGUUUGUCAGUCCCAAGUGGCAGAAAAGUAGAUAUGCAAGGGUCGGCACUGAAGGAAGUAAUGUCGAGGACUUGGUGACGAGGCGGACAUUCUGGCAAUGGGCCACUGCGAUAGUGAAGGCUAUCAUACCAUUGUAUAAAGUGCUUUGGACCAUAGACAGUGAGAGGUACACCUAGAUGGAAUUUCUAUACCACAUGAUGGAGGGGGAAAAGACUCAGACAAUUGAGGCAGAUCUAGAUAUCUACAAGAGACAUCGCCACUCGAUCUGAUUUUAGAUAUCGGUACGUAUGAACUUUAAAUGUAUGUAAUUGAUUGUAUUAUUUUUUAAUUUUUAUGUCACUACUUGAUUUGAGGAUUUUUAUGUCGUUCAUUUUAUAUUUUGUAUCAUUUUAAAGCAAUAAAAUGCAUCAUCUAGGUUAAAUCAAGAUCAUAGAAAUAUCAAAAAACAUCAAAUUAGACUUAAAUUCAGUGAAAAAGUUCAAAAAGUGUGAUUACCAAUUAAUUUUUUUGAAAACUCCAAAAAAAAUUGACCGUGCCGGUCCGUGCCGUACUGGUUCGGUACGGUACCGAACCGUACCAGGCGCCAACCAGUAUGGGAAGCGAUACGGGUUCGGCGGGCCUUGGAACUAAUGCAUAGAUUUGACAAAAAGUAUGACAGUCUCACCCAAAUGGAAAAGAAAAACAACUCAUGUAAAUCUAGUAGACCGAUGCAACAACUAAUUCAGUGACAAAAUGCAAAUUGCUUGUCCCCAGUUCAACAAGCAAAAAUUAUCAUAAGCAAGAAUAUAAUGUCAAUCAUGCCAACAACUUAAGUAUAACUUAACAAUUAGUAAGGUAUACCAUUAGAAAUUUCAGUCAUUCAACAAUGCAAUGGAUGGAAAACAUGGGAAAAGGAAUUAGACAUGGAGAAUUCAUGCAUAAAUAUGCAUAGAUGGUGUUUAAAAGACCCUCUUUUAUGAAAACUAAACACCACCCACCAACUAAAAAUUUUAAAAAAAAAGUUUUAUCACCGUAUCAAGAAUCUGGACAGUAAACAGCUAUUACCAUAGAAAACACAGUGAUGGCAUAACAAGAUAAUAUGAAGAAUCUAUGUAAUAAAGAAAUCAGUAUAGGACCAAAGGGUCAUCAGGUAACCAAUGGCAUAUUAUAUUUGGUAAACAAAUUGACAGGGUGAAGUAAAGGAAACCUUUUCGUAAUCAAAAAAUGUUGUAGAAUUGUCGUGGGAAUCCAAAGAAGCUGGUUCUUUACAUGGACGCGAAAAUUUCCAAGCACAUUGUUCCCAAACCCGGCCUGUCCAUCUACUAAGAAGCUGAAAACCUUCAACAACCAUGUCAUACAUGUUUCCUUUGGCUUCCCUAGACCACUCACUAUCUGCACCAUCUGUUGACUUCAGUAUUACAAUCUGGCAGGAAGAAAUCAAUGAAAAGGCAUGACAGCAAUUAGAUAUAGCUAAAGCAAUUUAUUAGAGCACUGCAUAUAAAACUUUGUAAAUUAGUAAUAUUGGAUAUUGUCACCAGAGUUACACAAAUAAUCCAUGUUUACCAUCAUCAAACAAGAUAUUAACAGCAAAUGCUUUUAUGCAGAUCUAUCAUAAGUUAAUGGAAUUAGUAGCACACGCCUAAGCUAGAUUUUGCAAAAUAUGUACCAAUGUAGAUAACCAAGUAAUGCCAAGUAAGCAUCUCACUACACAUUUUAUGUUUAGAAGAAUGAAACAACAGAAGCAUAAAAAAUUAAUAGGCAUUCAAGCUUGUGUGGGAAAGCAGCACUUCUUAGUGGGUUGAAAAGAUAAAAACGAGCACCUGAUUCAUGGCCGAAGCAAAGCGAAUAGAGAAGUCAUCAUGCUCCACACGAAUACUUCCAAUAUGAUUCACAAUCAAAUAAUGCCUCUGAUAAGUGGAUUAGUUAAGGCAUUUAGUGCAAGGAAAGCCAUUGGAGGUAAACAUUCUCGUACCACAAAAGUGAUGAUUUCAAAUAUUGCAUUAAAGUAACUAGUGACAAAUUAAAUUAAGGAUAUCAAAUGAGGAUUGUUAAUAAGCCACUGAGCAGAUAAGCCACAAUUGAUCAUUUAGACACGAAGAUAUAUAAAGGCGGUUCUUCAAAUUCAAAGAGUGACUUCAAGCGAAAAACUAAGAAAUACAAAUGUAGAAACCUGACCUGAAAUCAAACCUAAUAUAUCUUGAGUGACAUAUGCACACUUAGAUACAAACAUAGACAAAUACAUAUACUCUUAUAAAAUUACACAUGCAUUCACAAACAUAGAGAAUACACUCCCUCAUCUUUCUGGUAACAUUAAAGCCUUCUUCCUAUCAAUGCAAGAUCAAAAAUGAGCUUUCAAAUUCAAAGUUGAUGAUCCAUAGUUCCAUACAAUUGAUGAUGAUCUACAAUACCUAAAAUGUCCAAGGUCUACAGAACUAUACCAAGGCAUAGGAUACUAUACUAGUGUGGAACCAGGAUAAUUCCUAGAUUCAAUUUAGUAUAUGAGUUGAACCAAUCUGAAUCGGGUGGAACUAGCCCAUACCGCCCAAUUUUAGGUGGUACUAUGCUGGAAGUGAGAAAAAAGUGUCGUGAACCAAAGUCAAUACAGGGGUCACGCCGUACUAUACUAACUAAACGGUAAGGUACCGGUAUGGUACCCAAUAUAGGUUUUGUGAACCUUGAAAAUACCCAUAAACCAAAAAUCAUAUGUUUUGGAGACCAUUUACCUAUGCAUCAAGUGGAAACAAAAUGAAAAGUAUCAAUAGGCUAUUAUAUUAAAUUGGAUGACGUUGCAUAUGAAUUUUAGAUUCACAGCAUAGAGUAUGAUUAAGGAUUAACGAAGUGAUGCCAAUGCCUUGACCCAUCACCUACCAACAUGGUAUAUACCAAGGUUCACCGAACUGAAACUGGAGGAUAUAUCGGCUGGUGGCCAAUUCAGCAUGGUACAAGUUUGUACCGUGCCAUUCCAAGACAUACCAACAUAGGGAGAGCCAAAGAGAGGGGGAGAUGGAGAAAAGGAGACCGAACGAAAAAGAGGGAGGGAGAGGGAGGAGUGAGGAAAGGGAAGGACCAAGGGAAGCUCUAACCCUAACACGAGAGAGAGAGGAGGGGGAAGGGAGGAGAGGGAGNNNNNNNNNNGAUAGGUCUUUCUUUUUACGGAACGUAGUCCGUAACAUUGUAUCUAACUUAUCCUGCACAAAAUCCUGAACCUCUGCAUGGAUUGUUUCCCACAAAGCAUCUGCUACCAGUGUGUCACAACGUUGCAUCAUCAAACCAACACUCUUUAUGUAACUAACAAGCUCUAACAGAGCUUUUCUUUCUUCUGUUGUAUAAUUCCAUCGAACCACCUUUUCGUAAUCAAAAAAUGUUGUAGAAUUGUCGUGGGAAUCCAAAGAAGCUGGUUCUUUACAUGGACGCGAAAAUUUCCAAGCACAUUGUUCCCAAACCCGGCCUGUCCAUCUACUAAGAAGCUGAAAACCUUCAACAACCAUGUCAUACAUGUUUCCUUUGGCUUCCCUAGACCACUCACUAUCUGCACCAUCUGUUGACUUCAGUAUUACAAUCUGAUUCAUGGCCGAAGCAAAGCGAAUAGAGAAGUCAUCAUGCUCCACACGAAUACUUCCAAUAUGAUUCACAAUCAAAUAAUGCCUCUAGGAGGAGGAGGAGAGGACGAGAACCGUAAACCCUAACCCUAACGACGAGAGAGAGAGAGAGAGAGAGAGGGAGGAGAGGGUGGGAGGAGGGACUUAGCGGAAUGCAGACAUCGAGUAUCCCAAGCCAACAAGUGGAGGAAACCAAUCGCAAGUGGGCGACAAACAAUUUAAUAGCCGAGGAAGGGGAGAGGUUUAAGCGAACUGGUCAUGUCCCAUUUUAAUAGCCUGAGCUGUGUUGGUCCCCGGCCGGUCUAGUUUGAUACGCUCCGAACUGGUUGGUUCGGCAAACCAUGACUAUAUGCCAUUGCAUCGUGCACGGCUGACAUAUGAAAUUGGAUGGCAUGGCACUAGCACAAUAUAGCAUAGCCAUCAUGAACCAGCAAAGCUAGCACCUCUAUCCAAAUUAGGACCACUUGAUGCAUAGGUAAAUGAUCUGUAAAAUAUAUAUAUCUAGUUUCUAGGUAACUUAUAUGUUGCAGAUCAUAAUCAAUGGUGUAGAUCCUUAAAAUAAAAGUUCUAACAUUGAUUUUUGUACUAUUAGAGACUAAAACCUCAAUCCCACCAAAAGGAGAGUAAAUGCUCCCUCUUUCACUCUCUCUGCAUAAAUUCAUGUGCAUGGACGCAUGCAUACACAUGUAUACAGUAUGUGUAUAUGAUUUAUACUGUAAUACAAAAUGCAUUGUCUCUCAAAUGUAGUAUUAAAUUAAAUUCCAAAAAUUUCAUCAUGAGUUAAAUAGUAUCAUAGCAUCAUUGUAAAAAUAGUAUAAUAGAACCAUUAUAAAUGCACUUUUUUUGGUGCAAACUUAAUAUCUUUCCAGCAAUAUAGCAAGGCUAUCUUAUAUAUGAGGAUAUAUUGUCAAAUAUUAUAGCUUAGAAUGGAGAUUUGCCAUCUAAAUCUUGUGAUCCAAGGAUAUAAGUCCCGCCGGAGAGCUAUCGAUACCAUAUCAUUUCAACAAGAGCCUAGGCAUGGAGCACCACCAAGACACUUGUUGUCUCUUCAAUUGGGCUCACUAGAAUGGGAUGGUACUAUCGAUACCAUAUAAUUUUGAUAGAAAACAAGGACUAAGACACUUGCGGGAUGUUGAUUCCCACUUAAACUGGGAAAGGGCCUAAACCAUUCUUGGGCAUCCAAACUCUCCAGAUAAAUCGGGAUGGAAUCUUCUUUUUUCAUGUUGCCUAUUGGAUGUUUUAGUAUGACCCUACUGAAUUAUCCUAUCCCAGUACGGUACCAUCCUAGAAGCAAACUAGGAAAGGGCCUAGCAUUUAAACCCGUCUUUCAAACUAUGAUCUUGUUUGGAUGCUAGAAGAUCUUACCGCUCCAAUAAGAUCUUUUAGCAUAGCUCUCCUGCUUAAAGUAUGGCAGAAGCUAGGUGGUGGAAAGAGAUUAUGGUUGUUGGAGGAGCAAGUUAUCCCUGGUUUCAGGGAUAUAGUAAAUCACCUUGGAAAAUAUGUUUAUCAUCCCUAAAAACUAGUAUUAGUUGCUCCUCUAGCCGCUCAAUCUCUCUUAAUCAUUCCUAGCUUUCACCAUACCUUCUGAAGAGGGUCCCGCCAAAAGAUCUUAUCGGUCCGAUAAGAUCCUCUGACAUCCAAAUAAACAAUGCACAAGCAACUUGGCCUUUACCAUAUCAAAGUUAUACUAUCAGCCAUGGUCUGCCAAAUUGCCCAGUUCACCCCAUACCAGGGUACGCCGUACCGGUACCAGUAGGCAUACCAGUCGCCUACCGGACCAGUAUGGUUCUGGUUCGGACUGAUUUAAACCGGUACUAAACCGAAAGAGAGGUAAAAGUGCACACGGAUAUUUUCUACGAGUGCACGCAAAGGCGCGCGCGUCUUAAACCGGUACCAAACUGGAAGAGAGUUAAAAGCACGCAUGGAUAUUUUCCGUGAGCGCGCGCGGACGCGCACGCUCCGCGUGAAAUGUCACUCUAUGGCAUUAAAUAUCCUCUCGCGCGGGGCAGCGCACGGGCGCGGUUCCUAGCGCAGGAAACAGCGUGGGCGCUCUUCCCCGCUUGCAAGCGCGCUACCCCACACGCAGGCCAGUGUGAACCGAUCUGGUACGGGCUGAAUCGGCCGGUAUGGGCCGGUUCAGCAUACCAUGCCUAUACCGAACCGAGCCGAUGUGAAACCGACAUGGUUCGACUUUUUUUUGGGAAAAUAGCUUGAACCGCUCUGAACCAGGCAGUUUGGAGCAGAACUAGCGCAAACUGCUUGGCUCGGUUCGCACUAAUUAGAACUGGUUCGAACCGAUUCCCCCCCCUCCCUCUUUUGAUAUCGCAAAAGGCUUGAAAAUGGCCUGUUGAACCAACGUGAACCGGGCUCUGUUGAACUAGGGUGAAUCGCCUAGUUCACCCUGUAUUGAACAGGUACCAUGCCGAAUUGAUAGCCGACCAGCAUAAGCCACAAUACUGGUUUAACUAACCUUAUUAUCAAUAUUCUAUGCCAAUAUCUAAAUAUCAACAAUAGCUACUAAAUUCAAAACAAUAUAGUCAAGGAAUGCAUAGAAGAAUGAGAAAUGUCAAAUGAGAUCAAAGGUAGGAUUUAACCUAUUAGGCUUGGGUGCCAUGUAAAUCCUUGUGAAUACUAUAGAAAAUAAGAAAUAUCAAAAAAUAUUGCAGAGGAGCCUUGCAUAAGUUAGUAUAGCAAAUAUUAUAUUUAUUAACCUUGAUCCUUCACUUAGAGCAUGCUCUCAUAGUUUGAUUUAAUUAUGGUUCUGAUCCAACAGAUAUUUUGGUGGUUUUGAACGAUCCAAGAUUUAAUCCAACUCAUAUGAAUAAUUUUAUUUUGAAAAUAAAUUAGAGAAUAAUAAAUGAUGGAAAAAGAGAAUGGUUGACAAAAGGUAAUAAAUAGUAAAAGAUAGAAUAAAUAAUAGAUAUCAUUUUUAGUACAACAUAUUUUUGAAGUAUAAUAUAAUCCAUAUGCUAAUAGAGGUAUCUAAAUGUAGACUCCAUUAAUUAUGACAUCAAUUCAAGAAACGACUAGGAAAGUAGAAAAAUAUUGACUACAAGUUGUAACAGGUAAGAAUGACCAUAAGAUAGGACCAUUGAUCUAACAAGUAUCAUAUCUAGCAUCAGCUCUAACCUUAUAAUGUCAUGAUCAUGGUAUGCUAAACCGGCCCGUACUGGCCGGUUCAGCACAUACCGUACCGGUCCGACCCCUGACCGGUAUGGUAUGGCGGUGGAAAACGGUUUCGUCCCUAGGGUUGGACCGGUACGGUAUGGCGGUGAAAAAUGGUUCCGGCUUAUACCGGUGCGAACCGGACCGGUACGCGCUGGGCAGCGCCGCCGCACGCGAGAGGCACCGUGCCCGCGCGCGUUGUGGGCAGCGCAAACCGAUUCGGACCGGUUCGUGUGCUGAACCUGUCCGGUAGGCCACCGGUACGCCUACCAGUACCAGUUCGGCAAACCAUGGUCAUGAUCCCAGAAGAGUCAACUGCUAACAGGAAUAAAAAUAAAAAUUAUUCAAUCGAAUAAUAGUUCCAACUUGUUUCUAAACAAAAUAAAUGUUUGUAAUCAAGUUAAAAUUUAAGAAACUUCCAUUUUUCCCCUAAAAAGAAAUUAAAUUUAAAAGUGAAAUUUCUUAAUUGCAUAGAAACUUGUUUACCAAAGUUGGAGAUUUCAUGUUGUGUGCAUGUGGAAACAUAAAAAUUCAUAUUAUUCGCAACAUUUUAAAGGGAAUUAAAAUACCAAAGUUUUAUUCUAUUAUUUCAACAAUAAAGUAAUUCACUAAGUUGUAGAUUCAUAAAUUGCUUAUACAAGUUAAAAAAUAAUGCUUCCAACUACUUCCAAAAUCCUGCAAUAUCUGAGUUUCAUAUUAUGAAAAUUCAUUCUAAUAGCCUGAUCUAGAAAUUUCUUUCUAAAAUCUUGAUCUAUCAUGCAUGGCCCCCACCUCAAUUUCAAAGAAGAAAAAACACAUAGCAAGGCAAUGAACCUUUAAUACAGCUAUUUUGACAAAAAAUGAAUUAUUCCACCCAAAACACAACCAAAUUCCUGUAAUUCAUACUGUUUCAGUCUUUCAGAUCAGCUAACUACUCCAUUUGGGAUGGAACAUUUUGAUUUGCACCAAAAGUUAAAAUUUCAAUAUAAAAGUGCACUUAACAUACAAACACAAAAAAAUAAUAGUAUAACUAUAUUAAGAGUUUGUAUAGCAAGUAUAUCUAUUUUUCUAAAAGUUUACUUUUCAGCCCAUUACCUAAUUCCUAUUUUCCUGCUUGAAGGAUCUCCGGACCAACCCAAUUUUAAGACGUCCCACUCCAUCUCACUUCACCGCAAUACAACUGAUUUAACGGCAUACAAUUUUUAUUUAGCAGGUUUUUAUCUCCAAAAAGGAGAAAAUCUAGACAUAUACAAAAUUUAUAUCUGCCACAUGAAAUUAGACCUAAGAGUAUGUGCAACGCUUGAAUUUGUUACAAUUUUUGAUUGAUCUCAGUGUCAUCAGAAUACCAUUGUUUCCCAACUUAAAGAUAACAGUUGUUCUUUCAGCAUUUCAUCCUCUGCAUUAUUCUUAGUUCAGUUCUUAAAAAAUCUCUCAAUAGCUUUUUUUGUCUCCAAUCUGAUGAAGAAAGUUUCAUACCUUUACCAUUUUAUGCAAGAAAAGCCCCUAGACCAACCAAACUUUAUUUCCUGCAUCAGCCUCCAAUGUUAUAUACUGUUGACUGUAUUAGUUGUGUGCCCAAUUGCACCAAUGCUUUCAGAACAUGCUUCAUCAAACCAGCUUCAAAGCUGGAAAUUCAUAUACCAUACAAGCUUUCAAGGAAACCAACGAAGCAGUUCUUCGAUCUUUAUUAUUGUUAUGUUAUACAAUAAAAUAAAAUUCACAUGCCACAUAUUCCUACUGUAUAACUCAUUAUGUGUUUGUUAACUCAGCGAUGAAAAGAAUCAAUGAAAAAUCUUUACAAAUCAGAAUGUAUAAAGCGAAUCUGAUUGCAAGCCUUCCUAGAUAUCAUAAAGAUUAGAUGUGCAUCAUCCGAUGAAAUAAGAAAAGUAAUUGGCUCUGCUUCACCGUCUCACAACCUUGGGAGGACCCAUACGGGUGUAUCCACAUUGGAUGUGCACUAGAUAGAUCUUGGAAACCUAUUAAGAUCAAGGAACCCAAAUAACAACUCCCUGCUAGCCUUUAUAGGUGAGGUCCUAGGUCGUUACAAAUGGUAUUAGAGCAAACUCAACCCAUGGCCUAUGCAGACUAGGAGACACAGCAACACGGGCCUUUUUCAAAUUGGCCAUGUGCCAAUCCUGGAAUUUGUGAUUAGACUUGUUUGUAAUUAAAUUUGAUUGGAUUUAGACCCUUGGCCUAGCGAGGAUGCUAAAUCUUAAAUGGGAGGAGCAUGUGAGGACCCAUGCGGACAUGUGUUUAGACCCACAUCUACUGCACACUGGGUCAAUCUUAGAUACUUACACAAGACCAAGGAACCGAAAUAACCCUCACUAGUCACUAGCCUUCUUGGGUCAAGUCCUAGGUAAUUACAUUCCUCCAAUUCAAAAAACUGUCUAGUUUGAUUAGCAAAGAAGACAGCAACACCACAAUUUAAUAGAAAAUUUGACACCAAAUACAUUAUUCAUCUAUCUGACUAUAGUCAUAUGUAAUCACUUUCCUAACAAGGAUCAGUACUUAGUCAAACAAGACCUUCCAAAUACUCUCAAAACAUUCAUGAAAUUUCCCAUCUUCAGAAAUCAGAACCUUAUCUACAAACUGAAGGCCCCUCAUAUAGAUUGGCCCUAGUUUUCAUUACACAUGACCACAUCUGACUUUACAAAUUGAACUUUUCAGCUGGUAUUAGCCAGAUGAAGACAAAAUUGUCUGCAUCAAUAAAUGGACUACAUUUUGAGAUCACCAACAAAAUUUAGAUAAAAAGCAUAAUUUAAAUAAUAUAAUUCAGAACAAGUAGGAUAUUCUUGUAGCUCACGAGAGGGAAUUUCAUGUGGUGCAGGAAGAGUAAGAAGACGAGUUUGACUAGAAAAACUUGGAAAGUACAUUGACAGUUCCUUUAACAUUGCAGCAGGUGAAAGAUGAAGAUCUGGAAAUGCAGGAAUAACAAUAUCAUUCUGCAAAAACAGAUCAACGAGCAGUGCAUAGAUUAGAAUACAAUAAAUAUGUACUAUGCAUGCCGCAAGUUAAUUAAGCACUCAUCUACCAUGAAUCAUAUAAUGUGUACUGUAGAAGAUAAAUAUAUUAAUCAGCAGAAAGAAAUACAUAAUAUCAAACCUUAAAUAUAUUAAGAAGGCGGUUGAUUUUCACCCUCUUAUACAGUGAUUCGCUAUCUUUCUCUGACGAAGUCGCCAAAACAACAAGAACAGGCAAGACGCGAAGUAGAGUGUGGCGCUCUGGAAAUAGGAGUGCAAAGUCUAGUUCCAAAGAUUCAACACAAAAGACAAUGAGGACUUGCAGAAUGUCUUCUACACUAUACUUGAAUCAAGGACCUCAAAUUUAACAUGAAGAACGUCAGAAAUGUUACAUUCACUCGACACGAAAAUGCUGACCAAAAUAUAUCUAAGCAGUUCUGUUAGUAAAGCUAACAAACUAUGCACAUGCCCAUAUACUAACUUAAUAUGAUUAAAGAAAGACUCCCAGUAUGUGUUCCAGACUCAGUUUAAAUAGGAUAAAGCAACAUAAUACCAUGGUAUAGUCUCCAUAAAAAGAUACAGACAUUUUGGUAUAAUCUCUAUUUUUGGCCAUUCUUUUGCACUUGAAAAUGCAAUUUAGUGCACUUUCUAGAAAUAGAAUCAUAAACUAAAAGCAUAUAUAAGAGUAGAUGUGUGUCCUGGAGAUUGAUAAUAGGAGCUGCAAAUGAGUCAGGCUGCAUCUGGGUCAAACUUGACCCAUCUAUAAAACUCAAACUGGGUUUGAGACCAUGAUUCAGGCCCAGAUCAAACCCAUAACUUGCUGGAUCUGGAUCUCGGUUGCUUCAUUUUUUUCAGUCCAUCUCAGGUGAAGUCUUACUUUUGAGGGCUUAAUAUUUGGAAAAAAAAUCAGAUCCACUCAGAUUAGACCAAGUAGAGUGACUCUUAUCUCAUGAUUGGGUCAGACGAAGAUCAUGUAUGGAUGCUAUACAAAUCUAUUUGACCCAAUUUCACCCUUAUUGAUAGUAAAUUGAAUAUUUGUAAGAACACGUGUACUUAUCACAUAUGAUGAAAAAGUAAAACUCCAACUUGCAGAAAACACAUUAUGUUAAGCAGCUUUUACAAGUGAUGCUUAUCAACUACUUGCCCUGAAAUAGCAUACCCUUCUCAAAUGCCAAAAGAUAACAUGACGGAUUUCUCAAGAAAUGUCACAAGAAUUCUAGGUUGUUCUGCAUGCUUUUCUUUAUCAGCUCGAAUGAUUUCAACUUGAAGUUUAAAUUUGAAAACCAUUAUAUUCCUUUCAGCUUCCUAUGUUACAUAUUUUACAUCGUUAGUGUAGCAAUAUUAUUUUGAAGCAGAAUAGAAUAAAGCUAAAAACCAUUGCAAGCCACUUGAGCUUCCAUUAACAGUUGUCAGCGCUGCAACUGAAGAUUUUUAAGAGGUAGGAUACGUGUUCGUGCGGAACAUCUCUGCAUGUAAGUUCAGUAAAAUAGCCCACCUUGUGCUUAAGAAAAUCUGCAAAUCACAAGAGCAUGAACAAUGAGUUCCAUAGUUGUAAUAACAAUGGUGAUGCUGUAGUCUAAAGGAACAAUGAAAAUCAUCCAAUUAAAAUGAGUGGCGCAACUGUAAAAGUUAUGAGCUCUACUGACAAAAAAGAUGCUACAACAUUAAGAUCAGAAACAUUGGGAAAAAAGGAAAUGUCAAAUGUAGAACUGAGUAACCUGCAGAUCAUCCAACUCCUCUCUCAUUGAAUCAGUGUCCUGCCACUGAGCACUUACUUGUGUGAAUGUUCUGCAAAUUAGUAUACCAGAUUUAUUAUUUUUUUGUAAAAAAUCAUGUUUAGAUUCUGCAGAAUAGGCUGAAACUAUAAAAUAGGUAGUGAAUUAAGCUAUUACAUAUGAACAGAUAAUUCGGAAAAUAUGCAAUAGUGGAUUAGACAGUAGGUAUGCUAAACCAAAAUUCAUGAAGCAUGAAACCCAAACGUAACUACCAACUGAAUAUAAUCUACAGAAGGAAACUAAUCAAAUAUUGGCCCUCCAGGUGAAAGCAAUAACUGUAGACAGCAGAAUCAUUAUCGUUGCUGCAGAUUGUUUUUUGUAUUAUACUAUUGCAUUAUGAAAUACGAGUAUGCAGAUAUUAUUUUAGUCAUCUAAUACUCACAUGUUACACAAGUACACCAUAAAAUAUUGCAUGUAGAAGUUUUACCGCUCAUCCCAUCAUGAAAAUGACUGCAAUUUGGUGCUCACAUGUACCAACCUUGACAAAAUUGGACUCAGGCUUCUCAACCAAGGAUUCAAAUACAGAGGUAGGGGAUUAAACCUAUCCUUGGUUAUUGUAUAUAGCAUACCAACACAUGUACCAGCGGACACAGCUGUAAUCCUAUGUAGGCUCAUUUUUGGCCAACUUUUUUUAUUUAUUUUAGGAUUAUAAUCAUCAUACAUGAUGAAACUAUGAAAGUUCAAGACACAUCGAGAUAGAAUACAUUAAGUUUUAGGAGCAUCGACAUAUAGAUUCUAAUAUUAAAGAAGAUUUUCCAAGGUAUAUGAUAUUUGCACUAGUGUUGAUUGAUGAGAAAACAACAUUAAAUGAUAAAUUGCAUUUUUGAAAGCAAGCUUUCAAGAAUAAGAGUUUAAAUCAAUGAAGUAAAGACAAAUAUGUGGAAUGCAGAUUUAGUGAAAAUGAAAAUCAAGACAAGGUCCCAAUUAAGAUGAAGAACAAGAGAUGCCAAAAAGUGAGUGAUUUCGAUAUUGGGAUCUGUUAGACCCAAAAGAGAAAAUGGUUGGUUAGUUGAACACUUAUGUAAUAAAAUUAUGUCAGAUGAAAUUUGGAUGACUAAGAAUGUUAGGCAAUAAAGAGAGUUUAGAAAAAGAAGUUGACUGUAAUGGAAAUAAGAAUAUUAAAAUGAAUAUGUAGUAAAACUAUAAAGGAAAGGUUUAGAAAUUACACUAGAAAGGCAGUAGAAGUUGUCGACAUUUAGAGCAAAGAGUUGGAGGAUCAAUUGAAAUAGUAUGAGCAUCUAUAACGAAGCCUUGAAGAGACUAUAGUAUCGAGAGAUACUUUAAUUUGUAUUGAACGAUCCAAGAAAAGGAGGGGAAGAUCUAAGAUAACAAGGAUGGAUGUUGUGAGAAAAGAUAUAAAAAAACUGAAAAUAACAUUAGAGGUAGCCCUAUAGAAGAAAACGUGACAAACAAGGAUCCAUGGUUAUGUUAACUAAACUGAUUUGGUUCUUACCUUUGUUAUUUGUUCCUUUUUAUCAUAAUAAAGGGUUUAUCCAGGCAAACAUCUUUCUUUCGAGUCAUAACGCAUAAGUCAUUACUUAAGUUAUUCAAAUAGCUCCCCAGUCUCUCCCCCUCCCCCUCCCACCAUCACCUGAUGAAAAACCAAAAAUAAAUGGGAGUUUAUAAAAAUCCCACACAAUAUCAAGCAAUAUCGAGCGGUUCAUAAUGUGCCCUAGUCUGGUAGAGAUAGGAGAUUUUGUCAUAGUUCGCAAAUACCAAAGUGUACCAACUACCAAGGCCCCUAUACCACUUUAAGGCUGGUAAGGGACUAGUAUGCUCAGUACUUCAACAUUGUUUUCAACAAUUGACAAAGGUUCGCCGUCUCAAUAUUGGAUACCAUACCAGUACCAUCCUAUUACAGUAUCGGUACGCGAUACAAUAUAGUAAAGUUCAGAGCUAGCAUUGCCAUAUCAGUUGGUAUUGUACCAUACCAGUACCAAACCAAUAUGCAACUCGUACUAUACCAACACUCGGUAUGCCUCGCUGCCUCAUACCGUACCAUAUACUGAUACUAUAAUAGGAUGGUACAUGUAUAGGAUCCGGUACUGAAAUGGUAUCAACAUACCAAGUGUCGAUACGGUAUGGUACUAUAUACUGGUUCGGUACCGGUACAGCACGAUACAUCCGAUAUGGCGAACGUUAAUUGACAUCAAAAGUCAUUGUUCUUAUCAUCUGCUUAACCAAUUUUGUUAUGUCCAUGAUCUGAACCACAUAUAAGUUUCCUUUAGUAAUCUUAUGGUUAAGUCAAUUAGUUGUCUUCAUAUUCCAGAUCAACUAGACUCCAAUAUAUUUUGAACAUUCCCAUAACUUUACAUGAACUUGGUUUUAUCUCUAUUAGGUUAUCAUUUUUUAUUCCACUAUCCCAUCUUCUUUGCUUUAUUGCCUAAUUGGAGAUCCUUGCAUAACAUGCUUCGAAAACUUCUCCAAUAGAAGAUGAUUAAGAAUUUUUUUUCAAAAGAAUGCUCUAGUUCAAUGAGGCUCUCACCUCAAUGCAUCUUUUUCUGGCCUAGCAAGAUGAUGCCUUACAAAAGACACUUCACUAGGAUAGCUUUCUAAAAAUGCUUUGGCGCCACUUAGCCUAACUCAACUGUCGCGCUCGUAGUGCCUUUGACAGCAAGAGCAAAUAUAGUAUUUAGAAUCAUCAACCAUGGUUCCUUGUACCAUUUUUAAUCGCCCGAUUUGGAGUGUACCAAGCCGAACCAAUGGUAAACUGGGAUGGCUCGCCCUGUCGGAUUGGAACAAAGGUCAAACCGCUUCAAACUGGGCAAUUCAGAGCGAUACUGGGGUGAACCAUGCAAUUCACACAGCCUCGACUUGCCAAUCACCCUCCCCCCUCCCCCACGCUUCAAUAAUAGAGGAGGGAAGCUGCCCCAUGCCCUCUCAGCCCUCUCAUUUUUCAAAAAAAUCUUGAAAACAAGGAGAAAGCUCCAAAUUUCACAAGUUCAAGCCAAAUCCAAGUAAAAAUAGGUGAUGACCCUUUUCCCUUGCUCAUCUUUUUUUAUUUAGAGGCUGAAAAUCGGCAAUAAAAUGGAAAAUAGGGGGGCAUGCCAAAACUUUUAAUUUUGGCACGAUUUCAUAAUAUGUUGUAGAUCUAUGGAUGAUCUACACAAUGCCAACAAAAUGCUUAUUUUUCAUUAACUCUAUUUUUAAAUUAAAAAUAUAUUUACAAAAAAUUAUAAAAUUAGUAGCAUGAUUAGGGGCAUGCAUGCUGCUCUCUAUCCAAAUUUGGUGCAAUUUAUUUAAGUUUGGGCAAUGAUCAUGUGCAUCAUGGCAUAGGCCAAAGUUUGAUUAAAUGUUAAAAAUAAGUAGCGUUUUGUGCAUGCCAACAAGCUGAGAAAAAUAUAUACAGCAUCUUUGGUAGAGUGCUACACCGAUCCAAAAUCAAAUUAAUUUUUUGAAUAUUUUAUAUUUAAAUACUACUUCUAAAUAAAAUUAAUAAAAAAUAUUUGUUUAAUAAAAAGUAAAAAAUAAAAAAUAGUAUUAUGCAUGGAUAAUUCAGAAGUAUUUUCUAAGUAGAAAACUAAUUUUUGCAUUAUAGUCUUAAAAAAUUAAUUAAAUAAUGAUAUUUUGAGAUAAAAAUAUAUGUAGCAUCCCCAUUAGGAUUCUACAUUAUUCUAAAUUAAAAUAUAUAUUAUAAUUAAAUAUUAAUUUAUUACAUAAAAAUAAUUAAAAUUAUUUAAGUGUAAAAACGAUAAAAAAUCGUAUUACAUGUGGAUAAUGUAUAAUUCUUUUUUUGGACUAAUUUGGUAAGUUUUAAUCAUAAUGUAAUUUCACUAAUUUUUAUAUAAUUAUCUAAAUAUCUGUUGAUGUAAAAAUGUUUGAUAUGUGCUAGAAAAACUUACAAGAAUGGAUCCGUCCAGAAAGAAGAAUCCAAAGUGUGACAUUGGCUGGGAGCACAAAUAAAUGCUCUCAGGCCGACACCACUAGAGAUGCGGGUGGUGCAGCACAAAGUCUAAGAAAAAAGGGAUAACUAGGUUGAAGCAGCAUAUAGCCAAUGGUUACCCUGACGUGUCCUAAUGCUAGAAAUGUCCACAGGAGGUCUGGUAGCUUAGGAAGCAGCAUCUAACCAGCAUGUAUUUUAUGAUUUAAAUACAUUAAAAUCAAUUCAAUUUGUUGUAUUGUAUGUGUUUUAACUUAUAUGUACAUUGGUUAGUCUAUUCCAAUUCUAUUUCAUGAUAAAAAGGCAUCAAAACAAGGUUAAAAUUGCAAAUUACAAAACAACCCGAAUCAAAUUUCUAAGUAGAAAUAAAAAAAAUGAGAAAAGAAAAUAAUGAAAAAAAACAAAAUAGUGCACCAAUCAAAUGCCCGAUACAGCAAUCCAAAUAGUGUCUGCACGAUACCGAACUAGGUAUCGUAUCAUACUGGUGGCCGACCAGCACAGGUUCCAGUACCAAUUCACUGAACUGGUGAACCUUGUCAUCAACCAUAAAAGGUGGAUUUCUCUAUUGGAAAUAGCUCGAGGAUUACAAGCAACUCCUUGUUCUAAAAGCAUACAGCUAAGGGGGCAGUAGGCAACUCACCUGUACGACUACUAUUUUUUUUAUUGAACACACAAACACUAAUUUCAUGAGAAUAACCUAGAGAAAAUUACAUAAGUAGCAAACAAAUUUCCAAUUAUACACAUUUUUCUUGGAAAUAUGAUAUUGUUGGUCACUAAAAGUGAGGUUCUUUUGCUAUCCAUACAAGUUUCUAGCUAGAUGAUUCUUGGACAGUUGGACCUAACAAGGAUGUGCCUUAAGACAACCUAAUAGCUACAAAGAUUUGCCAUAAGAUGACUUUUUGACACGAUAAGGGACUCAAAUGAGGCAAAUUUGUAGCUGCCAGCAUUGUAACAACCGUCUAACUCAAGCAGAAAGGAUAGCAUUAUCCCUAUCAUUCUAACAUCAUAGUUACAACCACUGGAUUUAGCAAUAUGCUUAAUUCAACUAGAAUUUUCUCGUCGGAGCUCCAAUUGAGAUGAUUCAAGAUGUCUUGGAAACUAACUCAAUACCUAAAACAAUGGAAGAGCCUUGACAAUAUAACUCUAUAUGUGCUCAUCAGAAUGGGGCAAUCUUUAGGACUGAUGUGCACUAGACCAUGGUACACCUUACUGGUCCAUACCAGCAUGUAAAGGGCAACCAUAUCAUACCUGUAUCAAACCGGAAUAUGAUACAGAGGAUGUACCAAGUAUUGAUACAUUGAAUCGGCCGCAUACUAGGCAUACCAAGAUAGUACAGGUACAACAUCCAGUACCGAGAUUGCGAACCUUGCACUAGACUAUCUUCUAGAAGACGACCAGCUAAAAACUUCUGCCAUCUACUAGAAAAGUUGAGCUCCUAGACACUUGUGAAUCAGAAGUCUAGCAUGUGACUCAAUGAAUUAGGUGUCAAGUGUGCCAGGACCCUUGAUGGCAUGUGGGGUGAAGGAAUGUCGUACCAGUUGGUAUCGCCGACCGUACCGCUACCAAACCAAAUACAUGGUACAGGAGGUGUACCGAAUGUCAGUACACCCAACUAACCUCUGUAUCAGGCAUACCAAUAUAGUAAGAUAGGGUCUGGUACCAAUACGGCAUACCUUGGGUGAAUCUAUUCCAUUCACCACUAUUUCACCUCUAAGCCUUAAUCCAAGUUUGUCAUGCAAUGAUCAGUUAGUCACUACUUUUUCCAACUCUAACCGAUUUUCCAUAAGAAUCCAACCACUGCAGGAGAGAUAAAUUUGGAGAGGAGUCAUGGAGAAGUAAAAGAUGGAUCUUGCUAGAUGCAUGUAUGCAAGUUCAAGGACAAUUUAACUAUUAUUCUCAUUUGCAAAAAGCAAUAUGAAAAUCUUCUACUAUAAAAUAUACUUAUUCCAAUCCAGGAUUAAAUAGAGAAAAGAUAAUAUAAGAGCAUAAUCGUGCACAGGUAUUUCCGAAAAAUGAUAAUCAAUAGAAUCUUCUCUAAAAUACGAUGUUUCAUCUUACAAAUCAUGUCUAACUUAAGCUUUUAGGUUGUUCCAAAUAUAUAAUUUGCAUGUUCUUCAUAAUAAAAUACACAACCCAUGAGAAGCACCACCUAAUAAGGCUUUCAAUAAAGUACAACAGCUAAUUUGACAUAAUCAUGAUCGUGUUCAACUCUGUGAUGCGGGUUACCACAUUAAAAAAAAACUACGUUCUAUAAAAGUAUUAUAUAGAUAGUCAAUUGCAUACCUCUUAUACCAUGAAAAAUCAUUAGGUAUGCUUGCCUUAGCAUUUUUAAGAUGAUCGAGUUGCAAUAAAACAUCAAGCAACUUUAACAUAGACCUGAGAUACAAAAGCAAAAUGGUCCAACAGUUGCUCAAAGAGAAGUAUCUGCAAUAUGUAACAUUAUUUGCAACACAAAUACAAAAAUAGAAAUAAGAAUAAAGUUUAUUCAAUAAACAAUAAACCAAACAAAAACAGAAUAGUUAUGUCAUCAACUUUUCCACACGGAUAUGUAACCCUUUACCCCUUUGUAACCCAACGAAAGAAAAUAGCAAUGUAAACUUAAAAAGGAUGAUUUGUGAAAUUAGGCUUACUCCUCGCAAAUUACAAGAUUCGCAUCAUGAAAUGCUAUAACCUUCAGAGUUCAGAGCAUAAUAGAAGGCCAAAAAAUCUCAUAUGGAAACCAUGCAUCGCUACAAAAUAAGUAUGUGAUUACCAUAAAAAGGGUUUAGGACCUUUAAGUCACAAUUAUUUACACGUGCAAGUAGUUGGAUAACGGCAUAUUAUGUUGCAGGAUGAGAUAUGAUGUUCCCUGUGAGUCUAACUUUUUCUGCAUGUGAAUCACAAAAUUGGCAUGAUUGGUGGGUGCACAUUUGUCUCGUUCAUCUCCUACAUCCAGCAUCUUGCAAUAAGUAGUUGCAACCUAAACCCAGGUGUCCAUAGGAUCUCAAUCAGUGUCCACUUCAAUCUAAACAUUUGGAUCUUGUCUGUAUAUUGUCUAGGUCUUCUGAUGUAAGCAGACACCAUAACAACAAAGUGUAUCAAUGUGCAAAGAACAGCAACUGAGCAUUAUUUACAUCUUCGGCUCAAAGAUGUUUGCCAAAGAAAGGAAAAUAAGUUUUGAGAGAAGGACAUAAUGAGACUUCUAAGGUAUGUCACAAUAGUGCAAAAUAUAUAAAUAUAUAUGUAUAUAUUUGAACAAUAUUACUUCCAAAUAUUUAGUAUAUUAAUGAAUAAGAAGCAAAAUUCCAAAAAUUUUAGGUGAAUAGCAGCAGCAUUAGAUAUUACCCUGUGUUCCAAGGAUGAAGGUUUUAAAGUAUAUAGAGAGAAUUAAAAAUUUUCCUGGUCUAUAAGCAUUGGCUGCUAGUUGUAUGAAUUUUCAUUACAAAAUUUUCCUCCUGGCUAAGAAAAUUUCAGAAAAAAAUGAUUAACUCAGGAACACAAUCUAAACCUCUAACAGAGGUUUAAAAGCAAGUGAUUGUUAUAUAGAGAGAAGACAAACCAAAAAUGAGUUGUUGUGGGUCCAUUUAUCAGCCGUUCAGGCCUAGAAAAUCUCUGCAUGUCAGCUGCCAGCUGUAUCAGAUAGCCCAAUAGAGAGUCAAAUGUUAUGAUAAGCUCAAGUGGCAUUACAGAAAACUAUGCAAUAAUGUAACUAAUGUAUCAUGUAGUAAAGAAAAUAUUUAAAUUUCUAGGUUAUGUCUGCUGAAAACCAAGCAAAGCUAACAUGUGGCAUUUGACUACGAGGAAUUGCACCUUUGGGCUUUUGUCUGGGCAAGGCUGGGCCCAAACCCCAGCUGGAAUUUGACGGGGGCUCAAAUCAAGUCCGGUUUAUUGUAAUAGGGUUCAGGCCAGCUUCAGACUUCAGAUCUAAACAAUGCUAUCCAAAUAUUUGCAUCUCAACCUAACACAUAUCAACCCCACUGGUUGCCAACCUAGUACCAUUUCAGGAGCAAAAUUCUCAUUUUUCUUAACUUUUAUUCUUCUUCUUAUGUUAAGCAAUGGACAAAAUGCGUGCCCUGUUGUGUACCCACAGGUAAUACAACCCACACCACGCAAGCAUUGCCACGCGAUAUGCUUUUUGGAGGGAAAAUGGGCUCUCCAAACACAAGCACCAAAGCCACUGGUGGUGGAUGAAAAGCAAACCUCCACCUCUCCCUCCGAGGGCAUUCACCUUCUAUAGAUAUCAUGAUAUAUAGCACUUUGGUCAAGUCUAAUAUAUAGAAGAGAUAUAGUUCUUUCAUGAUCACAUGCAGACAAAAGAAAAAAAUAACAACGUAAAACUAAAUAAGAAAAGACAGGAUAAUGCUUACUUUAGAAGCAGCAGAUGCUUGCCAUCUCUGAAUUUCACGUAAGCGACUCAUCUCCAAGUCAAGAACUUGAUAAGUCUCAAGGUACAGGUCAGCUUGGCUGUGCCUCAUAGAAUCAGGCAACUGCAUCGACACUAGUUAGUUCUUUGUCACACAUAUUUUAAAAUAUAUGCAUAAAGAUAUGCAUUUUUCAGAUCUUGUGGAGUAGAGCUAGGACAUAGUGCUUCACAUAAACUUUAUUAAGUCUAAAGAAGGUAAAAGCAAGGUUUAUCGUACCAGUCGGUAUCAUAACAUACUAAUUGUACCAUAUUAUACCGGGUGUACCGUACCAGUACCAAAUCAAUAUGCAGUCUCGUACCAUAUCGACACUCAGUAUGCAUCGCCGUCUCAUACCGUGUUGCAUAGCAACACUGUAAUAGGAUGGUACCGGCAUAGGAUCCAGUACCAAGACGACGAACCUUGGGUGAAAUAUUUGCUUUCAACCAAUAUUUGUUGCCAAAAUCAUGCUAAAACUAUCAGGCAAGCAAACUCAACAUUCAGCUAUGUGUAACUUGAAAAUUCUUCAACGUUAUGACAUUGCAUCAUUUGGAACCUUGAGCACUACCCUUGAGAGUUGAGGCCAUGUGGGAUGAAAUAUUGCAAGCAGUUUGGAUAGGUAGAGAUGUUUGAUUAGCAUCCAGGCAUAUAUAGAACACCAACCAAUCAUAGAUGAAACCCAAGGAUGUUCCAUCUUUAUAGAGACUAUUGUAUUGCAUCAAAAUUUGGCCAAAGGCCCUUGAGAUAAAAUAAAGCAAAAUCCAUCCAAUAUACCAACUUCCUUGUUUCAUUAUUUUUCUUUUUUUUUGUAGACCAACAAAACAAAUCUUUUCCUCUAACUUAUAUAUGAUAACAUGAAAAUUGAAGCUCGAUAGAAAGGAAUUGACCAUUUUAUGUAAUAAGUCUAAUGAAUAAAAGCUAUUCUGAAGCAGAGUGCAUCCAAUAAUCAAUAAGAAGAAUGCACAUAAAUAUUAGUAAACAAAGAAAAAAAGAAUCUAAUGUUAUGUUGCACAACUUACACUUGCAAUCGAAUUUGUUGCAGGUGUUUCUGAUUGUAUGACACAAUGGUUCCAAUUUCCGAAUUCAGAGCUGCAUGGGAGAGUUUGAUUUAUGCCAUUUUUGUCCUACGGGUGAAAAACAUAAUCUGGGGACUCCAAAACAGUUAUCUCAUGGAUCAGCACUGGGACAAAAUAUCAGGACGAGUCAUCCCUGUUGGUGGAUGGUUAGAGACUCACAUCGAAUAUCACCUCUAGAGGGAGGCAAAUAGCACCACUGACUGGGUGGCUAUGUGUGUGGCUUACCAUAGUGGCACUGUUUUAUGGGAGGCUAGUUCAGUUCUACCUGGAUGCCUCAGGGACAUUGUAGGGGCUAAUGCGAGAGGACUGUGUAUAUACAAGGGCUUUGUAAAGUCGCCAUUACACCAAAAAAAAGAUAAUUCUAUCCUAUAGAGUUUUCUACUUUAAGCCCCAUUUGAAUAAAUAGAUAAAUAAUAAAAGAAACUGAUGAUGACACCAGUGCUUUUAUUAAUCUCACAUGCAUCCAAGGAUCACACAAUGUGCCAAAGAUGAGAUAUUACACAGAUGAUAGAUGUGAAAUCAUCUUCCAACAUGGAUGCUACAAUCAAAUUCAAACUCUUAAUGCCUUGGAAUUUGCAGCCAAUAAGAUUAUUAUGAUUUAUAUAACUUCAUCAUCGUUAUAGCAUGUAUCAGUAUUUCAUUUAUGCAUUAAUUACCAAUUCUGCUUAUACAGAUAGCAUCAUUUGCUCAAAUUUAUUUGUGUAUAACCUUAUUUUAUGUCAUAUGUUUAUCAACCAAACAAUAGAACCCAAAAGUGUAGCUGUUAGGGAACAAGCCAACAGCAUAUCGGGCAUAACAUCACCCUUGGUGCAGACCACAUCUGUGGGAGACUGAAACAGGGGAAGGAUACCAACCAGGUUAAUUACAUAGAUAAUUGGCUCAGAGGGGAUUUGAACUCAAUCACUAGCAAACUUGGCUUUGGUACCACGUUAACUAGCCAAUACAGCCCGAAAAACUUACGACUGUUAUAGGAUGAGCCAAAAAUGUACAUCAGGCUUAACAUAUUUCAGAUUAACAAGCAUCAAGCAACUUCACUCGAUCCAAGUCAUGCUCCUGCUCCUAAACCCACUUCCUGGUGCUUUUCCAAGCAACAAUUUACUCGAGUACCUUCAACUGCUUUUACAGUUUAUCCCAUCAAUCCAAGGCCCAUUGUAGUAUUUGUUUUAUUGGUUUUGAAUCUCUGCAUGAUGCAUUAUUAUGCAACAACCAAAUGAAUAGUAUCUUUUUUAUUGUCUGAGAAUUUCUAUAUUCUUGAUGAUCCAUAUCUUAAUUUUUCAGAGAACGUCACCUCCCCACUCCCAUACUCUUUACAAAGUCAGGCAAAUAACAAUUUCAGACUGUGAGAUCUUUGCUACAUGGUUCCUGUGAACCUUGCUUUUGUAUCAGAAUUGCAAUCCCUUUGUCAAUGCGUCUACGUAAAUUAUUGUUGACAAUUUGACAUUUUCUAUGACCAUACUUUGGAUAUGUGAUUCUAUGUACUGACUGUGUGUUUCUUGUAUUUGUCUGGUGCUUGAAUGAAUUAGUAAUGCUUAAAUCUCUUAGCCACAUAAGAUCUUAGGUUGUAUCUGGAAUGCAUUGGGCAACUUUGCUGGGUAUAGCAAAAUAGCCCUGCCCAACUGGGAGAAAUAGAGAGAAAUUAUUGUCAAGACACCUAUGGGAUGGCUAACAUUAUUUCCAAUUUUCUACCAUUUUCCACUGAAUGAGACUUCCAAAGAAGCGACAUAACUAGCUUCAUUUCACCUUAGCUUCAUUUCACCUUACCCACAUUUACAAAAGAACGAGAAAAGGGAGUUCACAGGUAAACCAAGGUCUAAAAAUCUUGCAUAUCAAUGCUGUACUAUUCACAUAGUACAACAAGACACCGUAUGUCUGCUUGUAUCCGCUCACAGUUUGCCAAACUGGAUGAUAAACCUGUGUCAAUAUAGGUUGAUAUGCCAAGCAGUAUAGGGUUGAUGCAGGAUCAAGACGAUAUGGUAUAGUCAUAGGCAGACCCCUGGGGCAAGAGAGGGCAAUUCAAAAUGAUGGAACUUCUUUAGGGGUUAGUUUUUGCAUCUGUGUUUCCCCUCCUGAAAUUUAUCAAUUUUCUCCAAGUCUAUAUACUGUCAUUGGAGAACUAAGUUAGAAACUUUAAAUAAGAUUCCAAGUAAACGAUUUCCUCAGAAAACAAUUCCAAAUAAAGGAUAUGUGAGCUAAUUUCCGCUGGACUUCUAUUAAGAAGAGUAAAUUGGCACCUACCACGCACAUAACUUGCCAGGAUUUUAGCUUCUUGGUCGCUGAAAUUUUAGUAUUUAAAUCUGGUUGGUAUUAUCUAGAAAUAUAGGUUAACUAACAAAUAAUUAUGGCGCAUUUCCAACCCCCAAAGUGAGAAAUAACUGAAAAGGAAAAGAAAAUGAAGGAAAGGGUUUGUCUUGUUCAACUUUGCUAUAUCAUUGCUUAUUUCUGUUAAAAAAGAUGAAGAAUGAUCGGAUAUAUUUUUCAUACUUAUUUUCUAAUUUUACUUAGAAUCUGCAUUUUUUCAUUUCUAUUAAACACUUCCUUCUAUUUAGAACAAUUAGUUUUAUUCCUAUAAUCCUGUUUGCCUUUUCAAUCUGAUCAAAUUCCUCUAUUCCUGUUAAUUGAUGCAUUCCUAAUCCCUUCAAGUUAAUUAAUUAAUAAGUAGUUCAUUAUCAGUAAUGCUGAAUCAAUCUUUUAUUGCCAAGGCAUGACUUUUUCUAAUAGAAUCCAAUAAGAAGAACAUUGGCAGAAAAAUAGUUUGAAAUCUUAACUGUACCCUGCGACAGAGCUUGGAUCUUCCUCGGGGGGUAGGGGGUUGCGGUUGGACCAACGAAUGUUGAACCGGUACCGGCUCUGACCGGCCCGGUUUGGUGUUAGCCCAUACCGGUUCCAAAUUUUUUUUGGAGCUUUUGGAUGCAUGAANNNNNNNNNNNNNNNNNNNNNNNNNNNNNNNNNNNNNNNNNNNNNNNNNNNNNNNNNNNNNNNNNNNNNNNNNNNNNNNNNNNNNNNNNNNNNNNNNNNNNNNNNNNNNNNNNNNNNNNNNNNNNNNNNNNNNNNNNNNNNNNUUUAUGCAUCCAAAAGCUCCAAAAAAAAUUUGGAACCGGUACGGGCUAACACCAAACCGGGCCGGUCAGAGCCGGUACCGGUUCAACAUUCGUUGGUCCAACCGCAACCCCCUACCCCCCAAGGAAGAUCCAGGCUCUGUCGCAGGGUACAGUUAAGAUUUCAAACUAUUUUUCUGCCAAUGUUCUUCUUAUUGGAUUCUAUUAGAAAAAGUCAUGCCUUGGCAAUAAAAGAUUGAUUCAGCAUUACUGAUAAUGAACUACUUAUUAAUUAAUUAACUAUGGAUCUAAUAUAUUUCAAGUUUAGAAUAUAUUUAACCCCUAGAAAAAGAUCCUGGUUCUAGAAAAAGAUCCUGGUUCCACCACUAGGCACAGUCACGAUUCCAAUCCUUGAUCUAAUCACUGGCAUUUAUGCCAAAAGAAUAUUUUUUUCUCACUAACAGGAAUGAGACGUCUAAAGAAUCAACAUAAGUAUUGGGCCUUCUUACCACAGUUUUAUGAAAUGAAUAGGAAAAGGGACUUCAUGGGAGUAUCUAAAGUCCAAGCACCAACAUAUAUGCCAAAAGAAAUUUUAUUCUUUUAGACAGGAUAUACCAAGGCCAAGAAGGAGGCAGCCAUCAAGGGAUCCAAGUAGAAUCGCUAGCUUUUUUAUAUAUAGACAAUAUUUGUUUAUCAUGAUAGACUUCUGAAAAAUCCAUUGCUACCAAGACAUAAACCUAUUUCCGAAUAAGAGUUUUGUUCCAUUUUCCCUAUUGUUUCUAGUCUUGAACCUCCAUGCUUUUAAAUCAAGAUUUUAACCUUAGCCACUAACCUAUGAUGGCCAGAAAUAUUUUUCAACAGCCUUAAACUUCUCCUCGUGCAAGAAGGAACAUGGAUGAUUACAGUAAUCAAGAGACAUAUUCAACAGCAUGCAUGUUGAGAAUGAUAAGACCUCCCAAAUAGUGAGUUUCCUAUGCUAAACCCAUAAAUUUUUCUUGAAAUUUUCUAAAACAAGAGUUAGGAGACUAAAAAUAUUGUUUUUAUCGUAAACAAUUAUAAUAAUGAAUGGAAAAUUUAAGACGCCAUUAGAUCGGCAUGCUCAAAGGUACGUACUAGUACACCACUGCUUUUAGGAGAUAAUAAGUUCUGUCAGCACCAAGAUAAAAAGAGAAUUCUUAUGGCCCAGAUCAUUAGCUAAGUAAACAUUCUACUCACCAUUUCAUCAUAAAGCAAGAAGAGGAGAGAUAAUAUUGGUUACCAUGGCAUGGAUGCCAACUGGCAUACAGGCUACUUUGAACAGGCCCAAUUAUCAGUAGAAACACUUCAUUAAGCAAAAAACAGGGUAUCAUACUUCCCAUGCUCUGGAAAGCUAAAGUUCAUAGACACUUAAAAAUAAAAGGCUAAAGGAGUCAAUCUGAAGCUUCUUAACAUCCAAUUGCAAACAUUUCCACGCAUUUUUUCUGUCUAAAAGUUCAUGGGCAACUAAAACUCCACCAAAAUGUCAAAUAUCAAUAUCAGUAUCAAUAGUAUAAUUCACUCUUUCUAACCAAUACUAUUAAUAAUUUAAACAUCCAAAAGCCAGCUAAUUCAAAUCAGGCCUCUAAUUUUUUGAUGAAAGGUUACUUUUUUAAUACCAAAUCCAUUGUAAGAUUAAGUUAUAAUAUCAUUCUGCAGUGUGCAAGCAAUUUGAUGCCUACCACUCCUCCAAAAUCCUCACCCCUUCUAUCUACCAAUGUGUUUUUUUUUAUUGCUUAACAUGCAUUUGAGAGUAUUUAGGAUCUUCAACACGAACACUAGAUAAAAAGAAUUUAUUCCAUUGCUUCAUCUUUAGAUUAAAAAAACUGAGUUCAAAACACUGCCAAAUUUUCAAUACAUAAUGUGGUUAAUAUACUUAAAACAGAAAUGCCCAUCCAAGUUUACAUGGUUUUACCCCAAUUAACCUGAUCAAACACAGUGCUGGAAUCAAUUCUGAGAAAAAAAUCCCCAAGUUGAGAAAUAAAAUGAUCAUGUCUACAAGAAUGAGAUGGAGAAGGCUUGUCACACGACCUAGUAAAUGACAAGUUCCAGACCCCCCCCCAAAAUAAUAAUAAUAAUAAUAAUAAUAAUAAUAAUAAUAAUAAAUAAAUAAAUAAGAAAAAAUCAAUCUUUCUUGCAAAGAGAAUAAACAAUGAUACCAUCAUGUACCAAAGCCUAUGAAAACUUAUAUCAACUAUCAAGAAACCAUUAUCUGAUCCCAACAAGGUUUAAAGACCUGGUCCUAAUGAUGUUAUCAGUUGGGGACUGAGUCAAACAUUGUAAGCAGACAUCCGCAUAUUGACAUAUGGUAAAUUGUGGCAUCCCAUUACCAUCCCAAGACCCUUUUCUUCUUCUUUCUUUUUUUAUUUUUCCUUAUUUUGUGAUUGUUUAGGUUUGUUAAGCCUCGUUUUAGGUUUCUCUAGGUCAUAUAUUAAAAUUCAUGACAAAAAACUUGGACAUGGUUUUGCCUUAAUUUGUGAAUGUUAACCAUUUUUAGUGGAGCAAAACAAAGGUGGGAAAAAAGAUACCUAGAUAUAUACAUGAUUUGGGCUUCCAAGGAGCAGGAUCUAAGCUUUCCUAUCAAAAUCUGAGCUCUCUCCUCUUCUUCGACCCUUUCACACUUCCUCUUUCCUCCUCACCAUGUUCAACAUCAGCAGCAAAAACAUAGAAAUGUCAUGAGGCUAAUUGACCAAUUCCCAGCUGGCAUUGGGCAAGAUGGAGCGGUUCCGGUCCUUGUCCUGCUUAGUGCCAGUUAGUACCAAGCCAAACCAGCCAAGAUGCCACUGUUCUACAUGGAUCGGGGUCUUGGACCUGGUCAUCCAAUCUGGGAUGCCCAGUACAAACAAAGACCAGCUAGGUCCUUAAUCCAUGAAUUCCAAUGUAACAGAGAUAUCAAUACUUCUUGUUAGUUUUUCAAAAUAUCCAACUUUUCUUUUACAAAAUAUAUAGCAUGCUGUAGUACUUAAUGAAUAUCAAGCAAAUUAAUGAAACAUCUGCUAGACUACAUGAAGCGUUUAUAAAUUGCAGAUGAUGUGCAAAGAAAUACUUAGAUAGCCUACUUUGACAAGAUUUACAGGUGUGGGUAUAUAAUUUGCAAUUGUUCUUGACAUUCAGGUAAAUACGUACCCAAAAAUGUUUAAGAAGAUCAUCUAUGGCAAUACUUAAAACUAACUAAUUAACAACAAAUUUACAAUAUCAUUUACAACAAAUAUAGUCAUGCUAAGAAGUACUGCAACUAUAUGCCAAGUAUCAAAUUUAUAAUAAGCUGCGAAAGGAAAUAUUAACAGAGAAAGCAGAUGUGAAGUACAACCUGAGGAAGAGCUUUGACGCAGCUGCGAUAUGUAUACAACAAAGAUGCCAUCUCUUUGCCUUCUUGAAUCAGGGUAUUCUGGAUAAUUUUCCAGCAUGAAUCAUUACAUAUAAGUAGCAAAGACACCUUUGAAGCUAAACUACAUGUAACAGUAGAAUAGAAAGUAUAAUUUAAGUUAUUCCAGUGCAGUGAGAGCAAAAGCAUUAAAGGAGAAAUAUAGCGAACGAUAUAUACUUAAUUCUUUCAGAUUGGUUUAGGAAGCAAAUAAAAUAUCAUCUGAAACCAAAUCCAGCACUUCAUGUUGACUUGGGUGCCAAAUGAACAAUAUAGAGCCUGCUGCAGUUAUGCUGUAAGAAACAAUACUGCCUCAGUGUGUGAUGCUAGAAAUAUUCAAAUUACUUUUGACCUAGAAGGGGCAUCACAUCAAACAUCAAAAGAGACCUCCAUUGAAUCUAUCAUGAUGUCACAUAUUAACUAUUUGUGGACUAUGUAUUUGACCCAAAUCAAGGUCCGCCGUACCGGUACUGGUCGGCGUACCGGUGGCCGGCCGGACCGGUACGGUACCAGUCCGGUCCGGUACGUACCGGUCGGUACGCGGUGGUUUCAAAAAUCACAGCGGGCCCGUACCGGCCGGUUCGGAUAAAAAACCGGGAAAUACCCGUUUUUUUGUCGUUCCGGUACCGGUCUAGGACCGGACCGCCCGUACCGGCCGGUUCGGAUAAAAAACCGGGAAAUACCGGUUUUUUUGUCGUUCCGGUACCGGUCUAGGACCGGACCGGUACGGCAUUCCAUGACCCAAAUAAUUCUCCACUGCAAUAUCCUUGGUUAGUUAUAUCAACCCUAUGCUGGAAGUGAAAAGCCUGAUCAGGAACAAAGUCAAACAUCAAAAGUGAUCUCAAUUGAAUCUAUCAUGAUGUCAUAUAUUAACUAUUUGUGACCUAUGUAUUUGACCCGAAUAAUUCUCCACUGAAAUUUCCUUAGUAGUUAUAUCAACCCUAUGCUGGAAGUGAAAAGCCUGAUCAGGAACAAAGUUCAAGACCCGGACAUUAUUUUAAUUUGAUGUGCUGAGCUUCCACUUCAAACAUAUGCUACAUUGAAAGAAAGUACAGUAACCUAAGACUCCAAAUGAGGUUAGCAGAUAGGAUUUGUUGCAGCUUCAUUUCCUUUUCGGGCAACUUCAUAUAGCCAAACAAGGUGAGGGAGGAAAACUUGGUUAUUGUGAUUUGAAUGCAUUGAAGCAUUUCCAUCAGGCUAAUUUCAUACACUCAGGGAAUCAGAAGACUUAGCUUCUCAUAUAAACUUGCUUUCAAUUGUUUGUUUUGCAGAGAAACUUCAAAAUUAAACAAAUUGUUUAGCACAGAGUUUGAAAGUUUGCAUUUCCUGUUCUGCUAAUAAAAGAAACUUCAAUUAUUCUAGAUUGUGGAGGUACAGUCUUUCCUUUAUUUUUCUUCAUGUCACCUGUCACCAGUUCUCAAGCAAACUAACCAGCAUUAUCCAAUCCAUUCACCCCUUUCCAUAGUUACAAUGUUCUGAUAUCAGUUAAAAAAGUCUUCUCUGCAAGCUAUGAGUGAUAUUUAUCCAAAGCAUUCACCCUUUCCAUAGUUAAAAUGUUCUGAUAUCAGUUAAAAAAAGUCUUCUCUGCAAGCUCUGAAUGAUAUUCAUUUUACUUCAGGACUCAAAAGCAACAUCAAUUCCAUGCAGAUUCUUCUUCUAGUUUUUUUUUUGGUAAUAGAUCACUACACACAAGGUCAUCACUGAAAAGCUGAUGUGGAACAAAAGCCCUCUAUCAAGAGAAAGCUACGAUAUGAUAGAUUUAUAUCCAUCAUUUUUGUUCUUGCAAGGCUGUUGCAGUCAGGAGUCCUAAAAAACUAGCAAGCUAACCAUAAAGAGAAACACGAGACAGAAAUAUGCCAUAAAAUGGUCAUGAAAUGGCAACUUUGCUGUCAAAUGGCAAAGACACAAAAGGAAUAGAAAUGAGCUGAUUAGAUCAUUUAGAAUGUUGGUGAUGGUUAUGGAAUGACUAAUGGACAAUCUAUAGAAUUUCAGUUUAGGUGUUCAAAUUUGUCGGACAUACCAUGCCAGUGCCUUACUGGCUUCAUGCCAGCUUUUGACAUGCUAUGCACCAGCACCAGAACGGCAUGCCAUGGCAUAUAUCAGGCCAAUGCCAGGCCAACACACAAGCAGCAUAUGAUCUUCAAACCUUGGUUCAUCUUCUGUUUGGACUGUUGAAAUUUAAAACGCUGUGUGUACGAGUGUUUGUCUAAGUGUAUGUGUCAAAGUAGACAGAAACAUGCACACUUGAAUGCACAAAAACAUGAACCACAUGGACUAGUGCAUAUGAAUUCAUUCAUAUAUCAAAGUAGGCAAAUUGAGAACCUGGAGGAAACUAAGUCAGUUAAUACUGAAAACUCCAGUUUAUCAUAAGGAUGAAACCAAUGUCAAUGCCAAGUUGCCAACCAUGCUAUACAAACUGAAAUGAUAACUUAAAGUGGGAAACAAGGUACAACUGAGAAAGCCAAAGCAAACUUAGCAAGGGGAAGGGAAAUAAAGUAAUUAACUUUUUAAGGUAACAGGAUAGCAAGAUAAAAGCAAAAAUGAGCGAAAAUUGAUGGGGAGUAUCAUUAUGAAAGAUGGGGAAAAAAAUAAAAGAUCAUAGAGAUGCAUUGUACCAAUUGGUUGAUGGCUUUCGUAUCUUCUGCUAAAGAUAGACGGUAAGCAGCAACAUCACCAUACUCUACAUGGUGUGGACAAAAAAUUCUCAGAAACAAGCAAUCAAUUAAGCAUAACAUUAUUAUUCUUAAAACAAAACAUAGAAUAAAACCAUAUUAGUUUUAAAAAAAUCUUAAUAAAGCAUAAUGAAUCUACAGCCCAUAAAUAUUAUGACAUAAGGGCACUAUAAUCAAACAUUUAUUAAUGAAUCAGAGAGCAUCUAUAGAAAAUACUAGAGCAUGUUUAUCAGCAUAAGCAACAUGAACCAAAUAGCAUAAUAUACUUAAUAAAUUAUUAAGAAAAACAUAUAUGCAACAAAUAAUACUACUUAGAUGAAGCAUAUGGCGAGCACAUUAAUCAUCUUCAGUUUUCAGAUUUUGCAUAAGGACAUGAAUGAGACUCAAUUCACUGAGAGAGACAGAAGUACAGGACGUCUGCAGUAAGAUUCCUCAUACCAAAAGUAGGCUGAAAACUUGUUUACAUAUUUAUUACCAUUGCUAUUUCUGAGAAUCUAAGCAAUAAAGUGGAACCCCUUCACAGUUUCUUGAUGAAAAAUCUUAAAUAUUAUAGAAGUUUCAUCUCCACUUUUCAUAAGAUAAAGCCAUGUCCUCUAGGAAAAGUCGACAAUAAGUGUUUAAAAAAAUAUUUACAAAUUACAACCAGCAAGAAAUGGAAUACAAGUGCAAUUGGAUCCUCUCUAUGUGAGGAGGAAGCACUACUCUAUGUUGUUUAGCAAAGAAAAAACACAUAAAGUCCCAGACAUAUCAGGACUAUUGAAAGAGAAAAUACGGAGCAAGGUUUUAAAUACCAUGGGGCAGGGCCAUCCCAAUUUUCCAUGGAACAUGACACCACGCAUACUGACACUCAGAACAAUGGAUGUCCUAUCCCAUCCUAGUCCAUUGCCAGACUGAUCCUGGCCCGAAACUCAAGGAUAGUAUCGUGUGCCAACAGUCGUAGUGGUAGGACACCUUGCAACCCCAUUGAUAUUUAAAACCUUGAUACAAAGUGCAAAAAAGAUAAUGUCUAGGCUAUAAUGUCAUCUAUUUAUGCAUUCUUUAUGACCAAACUAAAGAAAAAUUCCAGCAACAUAAAGAAGAUACAGGCCUUGCUCCUCAUGUCUUUCACCAAUCAUGUUCUUCGUAUGAAAAUCCUAAGUUCAAAACGAGUUGGAUAAUGCCAUAUUGCAAUUUAGUGAAUUAGUUGACUGACUCACAAACAGCAGGUUAUAUGGGAAUUUAAGAACAUAUAGAACAAAGGUAAAGAAGAGGAGGAUGAAACACGGACUUCUCCCCAACCUGGGAUGCAUGAUAAAUUAUCAUCUACUAUGUGACAUGUCAGAAAAAAGGCACCAAGAGGCAGAGAGAGAGAGAGAGAAAAAAGUUCGGAAUACAUGAUGAUGCACAUGGAUCAAUGUUUCAAGAAGAAGAAUGACAUGCAUGAUAUACAAAUAGAGUAUCUAAAGUGGCUACAACAGCCUUGAGAGCAGAUUUCUGAAUAAGAAGCAAUGAGAUCUUUCUUGAAAAUUGAAAUGGAAACCAUAUGACCUAAGGUACAGAACGCCCCAGCAAUGAUCCAUCAUGUGAUCACUCUGCCUGCACUUUAUACACUUAUGCCAUAGUUUGAUUAACUAUUAUAUAUGAUAUUAUUAUGAUGAUGGCUGAAUUAUCUAAUAAAUUUUAUAUAUGUUAUAUGUUACAUAUUAUAGGUUAUAUAUUAUAUGUUAUACGUUAUAUGUUAUAUGUUAUAUGUUAUAUAUUAUAGGUUAUAGGUUACAUGUUAUAUGUUAUAUAUUAUAUGUUAUAGGUUAUAUGUCAUAUGUUAUAUGUUAUAUGUUAUUAUUAUAUGUUAUACAUUAUAUAAUAUAUGUUAUAUAUUAUAUAUUAUAUUAUCAUAUACUUAUCUAAUUAAAUGUAAUGUAUAUUUGUAAGACCAUCAAAGCCAGUCCCAAGCCAAACAAGAAAGGUGGAGGUGAAUGUUAGGUUGACUAUCAGUCAUAAAAAUUAUGUCAAACUAUGAAAAAGAUCCAAAGUCAAUAUGUGUGGAUGCUAGGGUGAAGUUGACCCCAUAUAGUUGGAAAAGAAUUUAUGUUUACAGUUAUUGUUAAUUGAUGAGAGCACAAAAGUGCAAUCAUCGUACCACCUUAANNNNNNNNNNNNNNNNNNNNGAUUUUUAUGCAACUCCAAUCGCCUCCCUGUGGAUCGACCUCUUACAACCGCUAUUCUUCGAGUAGGAAAGGUAAGAGUAAAAUUUAAAUUAACUUUUGUUCGUCGGUUCUAACAACGAUCUGUCUAGCAUAUUUUUAGGUAGACAGGAAAGGACGAACAUUAAUUUUUCAUUUGUUCGAGCAAACCGUGCUUGGUCUAAAUGAAGAGCAGUCCAUAACCCAUGCUGAAACUAUCUGGGCCUUCAAAAAAUUGGGUUCGAGACAGCCACAUUAGUUCAAAAGCAAACUCAAGUAUGGCAUGCUUUAAAUAUGCUCCCCCCCCCCCAAAAGAAAAACAGGCUCCAUUAAUAAAAAAGCAAGAUACAGACAUGUGAAAGCACCCACAUGCCACAAAUGUUAAUCUACCUCACCUCUUGGCUAUUUAUUCCCUUGUCCGUGCAGAUACAAAGCCCACAUAGAAAGGUUCUUUGCUUCUUAGUAAAAUCACAAACAAAGCUUAUGACAACCAGUCCAUCUAGUUCCCAGGGUCCUAUCAAGUCAUCUCCAGACUCUCAAGCUCUGCCUCUUUGCAUCCAACAUAUUUUCAAAAAGGCUUCUAGCCAAUCUCUUCUAAUCUACACCUUCCAAACUUUUAUUACUCAAUAUCAUAGACAUAAUUCCAUAGACACGUCUCCUAAGGAAACAUAGUAACAUACAAAAAGUACCACUACAUCCUGAAUAUUUGUAAGUCUUGUACAAGCCUAAUGUUUCCUUGGUAUCUUCCAUGUCGCCAAAUGUCGCGUUUCUCAUGUAGCGCAAUGUUCAUAAAUAAACAUGUCUGACCCCCCAUUUCUUAUAAUUGAUUGCCUUCUUAUCUCUUUCCAGCUUUUGCUUCCUGUUAUUUCAUUUUGUCUUCAUUCACCCAACGUUCAGGGGAAACCAUCAUGCAAUAUUUUUAAUGUCUAGCCAUGCUGAGGUUUGCAAUUUACAGUUUUUAACAUGUUCAAAAAUGUUGGAAUUUUAAAAUUGCUAAAGGAAUGUAGUAUUGGAAAAAGAUUAUCUUAGUGACGGUUACUUUGAAAUCCAUUUUCUACUUGAUGUGAAGAUUCAUUAGUUGUUAAUUUGUCAACCACUAGAUUCAUUUAUGGAUUUUAAUUUACCGUUGACUUAGAUACAAGUAACCCAGUACUUGAUAUACCAUUGAGUCUAAACUCUAGAUAGUUUAAAUGUCUUUGCACAGAAAGGUAAAUACUAAAAAAUGCAGGAUAAGUUAAUCAUAUAAGCUACCAGCAUGUAGAUCCUUUACUAACAGUUUAACAGAACAGCCAUGCACAUUCAACAAAACAACCACGCAUGUUCAACAGAACAGCCAUUGCAUGACCACACUCAAUAAAUUUAUAUUACUGUAGAAAAUAGAAAUUUAGUUUGUUUGUGUGUGAUAUAUUCCAGCAUUCAUCCAAAAAAUCUCACUCCCAAAACCAUCACCUUGGAAAUCCACAUUCAAAACAAAGGUAUCACAUGCCUAGGUGGAGGGUAUCAUGUGCUAUGCCAAGGAGAUUUUUCAAUUUCUAUGUUCUAAAAGCAUUGCUCGCAUAUUUUUCAUUCAAUAUAAAAAUAUUUGCAAGCUCAUUUUUUUCGGUGACUAUAAUUACAAUCACCAUCCCUUAUUCAAUUACUCUAGUAUUUGGAACCAGCACUGCGAAAUGAAUUCUUGUUGCCACCAACUAUGGGCAAGUAUUUUAAUCUUUUAACAAAAAUAUCAUUGGCUUGAAACAUACUAGACUUGGCAACCUGACUUUUAUGAAUGACAAAAUAGAUAGUGCACUGCCUGCAUAUGUCUUGGAACCUUGCCUCUCACAUAGUAUUUGAGUCCGGAGUUCUAUCAUACUAUUGCAAAAUAGUAUAAAGUACCAAGAAAGAGGGGGAGGACAAUUCUAAAGACAAACUUGACAGUAAUCUAUUAUAUAUCAUUCAGAUAAUACAUACCUAUAGGGCUAUUAGUUGCGUAUCUCUCACUAGACAGCAAAACAGAUAGUCCCUGCACAUCCGGCUGCUCAUCCUGAAAGCUCAGCAGAUUCAUAUAUUAUUCAUAAGGUGAAACAUAAUAUAAAUUUAUAUAGUCAGGGCAAGUGUUCAAGAUAACAAACCCUACUUUAUUUUCUAAAGGCAAAAUAACAUUGAAGCAGGUUUCUAAGUCAACAAUGAUGAGUCAGAGAACCAGCUAGGAAGCUCAGAUGCAUUUUAAAGACAGUUUUCAAACCAAAUGAAAUAUAUGAUGACACAACUGGUCCUCAGCUUGAAAUAUCAGGAAUACGGCAAAACUAACAUACACAUUCCUCCUAUGUAUAAUGCAAAGUCCCUCCUAUAUAUAAUGCUCUCCCCUUUAAUAAUUACACCCUUCUUGAGCACAUCACAAGAGUAUGAGGGAGAGAGAGAGAGAGAAGUAUCUGAAAAAAAAGUUGAUUUUUAAAAGUAAAUGUAAACUAAAUUUGUAUAUUUAUCUGAAAGAAUUUGUAUUGGCCAUGUUUCUAGGAGUCAGAUAAAAAUUGGAAGCUUGAAAUACUUAUCAAAUUCUUUGAUUGCCAGUUUUACAGAAACGUGGAAGGUGGAUUUUCCAACAAUGUGCCCAACACACCAAGCCGUCAAAAUUUGACUAUGUUGGUCUAUUUUUCUCACUGCUCUCUAUUAGGAAAAGCUUUUAGUGAAGCCAAAGGUCCUAUUAGGCUUAAAAAGAUAUUUUACUAUUUUAUUUAGUUUUUUUAGCACUUCUAAGUCUUACAUGAAUUGUGUAAGAGUCAUAAGUCUGUACGAAGCCCUUUAUCUAUAAAUAUCUGUUAACUCUUCUCUUUUACCCACAGAAUUGAGUUUAAUAAAAUUUGGGAGUUUUCUCUACUGCAUCCAUCCUAGAGACCCAUGGUGAAACACUACAAUCUGCAGGAAGAACAUUGCGAGAGGCACGGCAACUUCAAUGAGUUCCAGGGAAGAUUGUGGUGCAAGGCUUGGGCUCUAGUACUAAAGCCUUGGGAAGCCGAAGGUACAAGACCAAAGGUCUGGCAGGAGGAGAAAGUGUGAGGCCUUCUCGUUAUCCACAAAACCUACUAUCCCUUUGCUUAUUUUAUCAUAUUCACUUCUGCAAUCCAUAUUUAUAUGCUCUUCUAUAUAUUUUAUAUUGCUUCCACUUAGUUUCAUAUUUUCCUAUGUGGCUACUCUUAAUAAACAUAGCAAGGAAGAGGUGGAUCUACAACCCUACCCGCAUCAACCAAGCAACUUUAGCAAUCAACCAAAUAGCAUAGUAGUCGAUGACACUCACAAUACGACAAGUAAAAACCAAUGAUAAACACGACCAGGAGGCUAACUUUGCUGUCAACAUUCAACUUCUCGACAUUUAACAAUCCAAUGGGCCUUGCAUAUAUUUUGGAACUCAUCAUAAUUUGUCAAAAUACCUCUUUCUUCAUCACCAUUAGUACACCCAGCAUACUGCAAGUUGCAACUGCCAUCUCCUUUAUUCUUCCAUUUUAGACCCACCUAUUUCUUGAGACCCAAAGAGACACACCAGCAUAGUGUCAAAUCGCUAGUAGACCAAGAAAAUCAUAUUUGAUAAAAAAGAAACGGCAAGUGAGCACUAUUUUUUUUUUCAAUUAAUUGCGUCUUACAUCCAUUUUCCAUCCCCUUGUUUUCUAAAUAGUGCUUGCUUUGUUUGACCUGAAAUCAGCAAUUUUGCAUCAAUAUCCAUGACAAUUUAGAUAAGUUGGUGUGCUCAUGACUUUGAUGCUUCAAUAAACUUAACAUAUCUCAUCUCAAAACUCUAAGUUCUCAUUUAUUUUGUUAAAAAUAUAUACCUUUCCAUCAUCUCAAAAUUUAGUAGUCCUCUUCUAGUGUGCUUAAUUGAUAUUGUUGUUUAUCUAGCAUUUUUUGCCUCAAGAUAAUUAAUAAAAUACUCACUUCAUCCUCUAGUUCUUAAAGUCGGCAUACCAUUUGUCCUAUGUUUAAGCUCCAAAAGUUCUGGUUAAUUCUUUUAUAGGUACCUUGGUUAAAAGCUUGCCUUCAAGAAUGACCUUGUGGUUAUUCAAGAUGUUGCUCCCCUUGGUUACCACUUCCCAUGUUUGGCACAGGACAAGAAUGAGAAUGUCCAACCCCCUAUUUUGGCAUAGCCCAUCUUGGCAUAGUCCUCCUUAAACUCUAGAAAUGUAGUCAAUUCCAACUCUCAAGUCUUAAUUACUAGUAAGUUAAGUAAAAAUAACAGAUAGACCUCAGGAAAAAAAGAAAGUGUUAUAACAUAAACAAAAGUGUAACUCGCUAGGCAAAUCUUUAAUCUAAUUAAGUAGCUCGCAUUGACAAACAAAGAAUGAUUCGAUUCAUGAACUCUAAUAAACCAACCACAUUUUAUUAUGUGCAAGGAAAAGGAAGCAUACAUGGCCGCUCUGGAUGUGCUGCAACGCAAUCCCCUCCUUCUAUCCUUCUCAAAAUUUCCACACUCAUCACUCGACAACACCAACACAUGAUCAAAGAUAUUCAAGGUUACAGGCACAUCCAAGAGAAGUCAAGCCCUACAUACUCAUUACUAUGAAACUACCCAAGAAAGACAUCCACCGCAUCACCAGCCCUUCCAGCAACCAACCCAAAAAGCUCCUUCCAGCAUAUGAGACUAAUCCAGCCAAUUCCCAUUCCAAGCCACUGAUUUCCUGGUCACCCAAGCACUUUUAGACCAAGCAAGCCAACCCUAUCUCCGAAAUAAAAGGACUCAAGAAACUUCAUCAUCCUUCCAAGACCCCAGCAACCAAAAUUCUAAAGAUUUUUUUUUUUGAAAAAAAAAAGCAACUAUCUUUUUUGUGAUUUAAAAGCGAAAAAAACCCUAAUUUCAGCCAAAAAGAAUUCCAUCAUCAUUUCCAAAACCCGCCAACUUCUUGGCCCCUUGAGAAAUAUUGGACCAAGCAAAAACACCCCUUCCUCUGAAAAAAAGGAUUCACGGAACUCCAUCAUCCUUCCAGAACCACCAAUUUAUAAUCCUUUUCAAGAUUUAAAGGCAGAUAAAACCCUACUUUCGAGCUAGAAAACUUCCAGCAUUCCUUCUAAAAGAUCCUGGACUAACUCAGAAAAUUAAACAGCAAUUCGUGCUAUCAAUUCUAGUCCUCGAUCUCCUUCAAACCGAACAAGAAAAGAUCGAGAAAAACAAGAACGGCAUUGGAGAUAGAGAUACUGUAGAGAGAGAAAACAAAAAAUUUCAGAGAAAAGGAGAUCGAAGAAGCGGCAUCGGAUCUUGACAUACCUCCAGUGAGAAGGUCGAGAGAGCGGCAAUGGCUUCUUCGACAGGAAUCGCCAUGGACUUGGCCUCUUCCUGAGAGAGAAACGCCGGCCGACGCUCUCCUAAGCGAACGGAGGAUCCCGCGAUCGGGCCGUAGUGGGAGCGGAAAGAAACCGGGCGCGCUCCCGUUUUUAUUCGAGAGGAGAGGUUUAGUAGCCUUGAAGGAAAAGGGUCAUCAUAUAAGCAGUAAGCUUCUCCGGACGGAUUUUUAUCCGUUGGUAUUUUACCGUUUCACCAAGAACUCGUGUCCGGUGGCUGUCUCCAGUUGUUAUGUAUGUAAGCCAGGGCUCUUUUUUUAUCUUAAUUCGGAGGCUUUCGGGUGUAAUCGUUUCCGGUUUCCUUAGUUACUGUUGGAUUGUAUCUUUUUUUUAUUCCGGUUUGGCUGUAUCUUUAGCCAGUUUACAAAAAAAUUAAAAAGAUUAGGCUAAUGUUGAAGAUAUCCUUAAAAUUAGAUCUAUCAAAUUUUUGAACUGUUCUGUUCAUUUGGUGUCACGUGACCAUCAAAUAGUACUAUAGAAUUAUAUCACAAUCAAACUGCCUAAUCAUCACCCGCUUUGAGAUCUAUGCAGACAGAAUGACAUUUGAAUCAACCCAUCAAUGGUUUCAGAACUUGUUUGUACCUCCGCGGGCCCAAAUAAUUUUACAGAUUUGGGUCGGAUCGGGUCGAAUCAGGACGGGGCAGGUCGUAGGAUUGAAAAUCCAAAAUUAUCCAAAUUUCAAAUGGGUCGAAUCAAUUUGGAUCUGAAUUCAGUAAACCCGCAUCCCAUAUAGCCCCAAAUAAUUUUACAGAUUCGAGUCGGGUCGGAGCGAGGCAAGUCGUAGGAUUAAAAAUCCUAAAUUACCCAAAUUUCAAAUGAGUCGGAUCAAGUCGGAUCUGAAUUCAAUAAACCUAGAUCCAAUCAAAAAAUGGAACGGAUCUAAUUUAAGAAUCUGACCCGACUCCACGGGUUCUCUGAAAUAGGUUGGGUUGGGUCAUGGGUCAAACCCGGCCCAUCUGCAGCCGUAAGACUAACACCAUUUGAUGGUCGAAGAGUUAAGGGACCGCUUUAGAAUAAGGGACCCAAAGCUGUAGAGGUGUUUCUGUAUUUUUUCUAAAAUACCCAAGAGAGAAGGUAUAACCUGUCUCGAGCCCAAUUUCAAAAUACAUAUAACUAACUCUCCACGAACCUUCUCUCGUGACACCAAAAAAUAUGAUUUAUAUAUUAAGAAAUAAUUUUUAUAGUUUUAUCCAAACGGACCAAACCAAUUCAUCUAAUAUGUCAUGUCUGAUUUUAUCACUCUGUUCUGACUCUACCCGCCCAACGACAUCCCAAGACAUUGUACGUGGCAGACGAGGGUAAUCUUUUUUUUUUUCCUGCUGUUAACAUGGGUACUAUCCGAAUCCGAAUAUACCCAACAAAAUUAAAAAUAGGAUAUCACAGAAUCUCCUAAGUAAAUUCUCUCUUCGGAUCUAUAGGUUGCCACCAGAGUGAUUGGCCGUAUAAGCAGCCACCCAGUCUGCAGCACUAUUGGCCUCUCAGAAUACGUGCUUAGCCUGAAAGGUCAUUCCAUCCCUGCUCAUUGAUCAAAUAUUCCGAAGUAGGGGUGGUCCCCACUCCGACCACUCGAACCUUUUUGGAUCCAAUCUAUCACUUUGACUGAGUCACCUUCCACAAUGAUGGAUCUGGCCUGCAAAAUCCGGCGAGCAUAGCGAAUGCCCGCUCAAGCCGCAUGUAGCUCAACUCCAGAAAUCAUGGUAUCCGACAGCUGACAACUGCCAUGCGCCACCAUCCUCGAGCGCGAGUCCCUAAUCACAAAGUCUACGACCCUUUUGUACCCUUCAUUUAGUACUGACCUAUUAAAGUUGACCUUAAAAAAGCUCACGGAUGGGAGCUUUCAUAUGAAGAACACCAUCCGUGGCCCUGGAGGAUAAUGACUUAGCACGCACGCACAUACGCAUACUUAUUUGCCAAUUAGUUGCUGAGCGGCAAAUCAGGACAGCCGCCGUUUACCCAGUUCACAUAGCCGUCAGCAAGUAGCUUGCAGCCUAAUAGCUUUAAAAUUUUAUUUUUAAAAAGCAUAUUUAGUUUAUUUCUUCCUUUCUUUUCCUUUUUCCUUUUUUCUAUUUUUUUUAAUUGCAGUAUGGGGUUAGCCCAAGCCAGCUUCUGACUACCGAAAGAUGUUGGGUGGUCUCCACAGCUAGUGGUAGCAGUGCGGACUAAAGGCUAUGCAUUGCCACACACCAAAAAAUAAAAAUUAAAAGAAAGGGGAAGAUAGGUAGCAAUUUCUGCUGGCUUCUGCAAGAAGUUGGGGACUGUGUGAUGGUUUGUAAGUAUUCUUCUGCAUAGUUGUGGGGUGUGGAGACUGCCUUGUGCGAAUUUGCUGCUGCUGCUUCUGCUUCUGAUAUCCUUAUUCAGAACAGAUAGUUGGACUCAUUUGAACUUCCUAAGAAUGAUUCAAUAAUUAAAAACUAUGCCAUUAAUAUUGCUGAUUUCUCUUCCUUGGUUGUGGUAGCACUAAAGGUCAGUUUUAACCAAGAAUCGCUGGAUUGGUACCAGUAGGCAUACCAAUUGGCUACCGGACCAGUUCAAACCGGAUCGAAGCAUCCAACAAUCUAAAAUGGGCCUAUAUAGACCGGUACGGAGGCCGGCACGACAUUCUUUGGUUCUAACUGGCCAGCAUCUAAAUGCUUGGGACCUUUAAAAUUUCAGUAAUUGGCAACUAGUAAAGAUUCCUUGCCUCUACCAUUCAUCCAAAGAAUCAUCAGUGUUGGGGAUGAUCCGCAGUUGCUAAAACUUCGAGUGAAGCAGAUGUAAAAGCUUCCCAAUGGUGUUUGGGCCACUCCUUAAACGAUCCAGGGCUGCCAUUUGGAGUCUGAGUGGCUCUAUCAUGCUCCAAGGCUGGUCUUGGAUGCUCUAGUCUCACCUAGACCAGAAAAAGCGACAUUGGUUUUAUUCUUCUUCACGAUCAUGUUGCACUUGGCCUAUUACUUUUCUGAGGACUCCAAGAGCCAUCAAUACCCCAUGCUUUGGGCAUGACAAGUAGAUGUAGUUCAGGCCAUGGACUAUUCUAUUACCCUGAGGGACACAGUAAGCAGAGCUCUCGAAGAAGUUUCAAAGAAAUGCCUAUGAAACAAAAUUGAAUACAGAGCAAAGUUAAGCUACUCAUUGCAUUAUAUUAGCAAAAAAAGCCAGAAAAUACAUGAUAAUGACUGAACUCGAAUAAAUGACGCUUCACUAGAAAGAAAAAAGAAAUAUAAUAUCACUUUAAUAUUGGAUUAACUUUGAAUUCAGAUUAACUUGUGGUAGCAACAACAAUCUCGAAGACUCGUUGCAAUGUGAAAUCAUCGAGAGCGAGAGAGAUUACAUAGACGAUCCCUUUCGGUUGUUUUUCGGCUUGCUAACCUUAUCUGUGUCAAGGUUAUCGAUGCGAGCACGUCUUGUAAGAUUCGAUUCGAUUCCAAGGCUCAGGUAUGGAUAUCAGUCUCACAAGGUUGUGUAUAUAAUUAAUAAACCUCUAGUGCAUCUCCUUGGCUAGUGCAAAAACUAAUGAGCAAACUUGGUACCAACUAAAAGACAGAAGAAACAAAAUCCAAUUGGUUGCCUUUUGCUUAUUGUUUUACGUAGUUGGCGCACUUCCAAGAAUAAAACUCAUUGGCUAAAUGAAAGUUUGGUACCCCCACCGACAGGCCAGAUCACAUACAGCUCAUGUGAUGGCUAUUUGAGAUGCCAGGCGAAUGCUGUAAAACAGAAGCAACCAACCACACACCUUGACCGGACACCAAACAAAACAAAUAAACUAGGACCACAAUGAUGCCAACCCCACAAAAUUUAUUUAUCUCAGAGACCGACCAACUCCCAGAGUCAAUUCAAUAAUUCUGUAAACCAACUUCUCCUCAAAAGGAAAUAAAAUUCACAAAUUCUUCUACCAACUAAAGCUGUAUUUCCGAGAAUGUCGGAAAGUGUUUCAAGGUCCUCUUAUCCUUCCUUCCUGCAGCCUGUCAGUUUAACAAACAGAUCCUCCUAAUCUCAUUAACAAAUGUUAUAAGAGUCUGACAGGAUUAUAAAAUGGUAGGGAGAUGACUAUAAUUUAAUGUUUUGCACCUUGACAGGUAUUCUAGACUGUUGUAUUUCUCCAAGAAGGAAAAACCAGGGGGCCCUUUCUUUUACCUUGCCCAGAAAGAGACACUUCUCAGAGCCUGUCACUACGACCACCCACAGCUCCAGGCCUCCUCGGCAUUUAAUCUAUUUAACACACUGAUAAGGUCACAGCUGAUAUAAGAUAUUUAACAUAUCCUCCAACAACAAGGCAUUAUUGGCCCACCAUUAUCCGGAGACACCUUUAUAUUGCAUGGUUGGUGAUAAUGAUGUCUUCUACUGUAAUUGUCAAGGCAUAAACAUCGCAAGUAAAUAAUAUAAGAAACAUAAGAUUAGAUUUGUAGACGCAAGAAAUGAACAAGGUGAAAGAAUUAGCAUUUGCCAACGGUUCUAUGAGCAAUCAUCAAAUAUCAGAGGAUAGAGAAUACACAAAGAUUAUCACUUGUCGGAAUGUAGAUAUUAAACAAUGCAAUGGCCAUCAUUACCACAGUGAAAACAACGGCAUUAAUUAGCAGAGGCCAAAAGAAAAGGGGAAAAAAAGAGUAAAACAUAAGAAAUGAACGAGACCUCAUUACAAACAUGUACCAGCAAAGUCUACCAAAGCGUCUCUGACCAAAUCCUCCAAAACCUCUCCACCAAUCUCGAUACUAAUCUCAUCUAUUUCUGACCUCAAUGACUCAGCCCAUCCUCUUCCUUCUACCUCCCUCCUCAAAACUCUGUCCAUCAAAAGAUUGCUGUUGUCAGCCUCGCAUGUCACAUGCUUCCCCUCACCUGAAAACCAAUUCCUAAGAAGACCCCAUACCUCCACCGCAAAUGGAGUACCAGGUGAAGUAUUCUUCUGGGCAUGAUGGUAAGCACCCUUCCAUGGGUAGGCACUUAGUAAGGUAGUCCGACCAAUUUCUAACAGUGCUGCAUUGACACAGUCAAACAAAAGCCUCUGAUUUGAUCUCCUCUCCCUCGACUUAGCCUCUUCCUCCUUCCGAUCCAAGAACUUGUCGAGCAAUAUUGGAUCCAAGGGGCUGUCCACCGAAUGCCAACUGGCAAAUACCAUGUCAGACUUCUCACUAUUCAAGCCAGCAGAUGACAACAACUUCUGGACAAGCAUAAAUCGUUCUUGUUCUUCAUUGUCUGCCUUGGACAAAGCCCUAUUCAGUUUUGAGGGAUCUGUUGUCAAUGUUUCCUGGCGGGUGUCAUCCCAUGCUAAUGAACGGGCAACUGACUCAAAUGGUGAAGACCUAGACAGUGCUUCUGAAGGAAGAUGAUGCAGGAUCCCAUUAGCAUAUGAAAAGAAAAGAUUUGCAGAUAAGUUUAAGCCUGAAACUUACGCUGUUGUCCAGCAUUGGCACUUUCAGAUGACUGGACCACAUUAUCGUUGGCAUCAUCUUCAAAAGGAGCAUCUAGAACUGAAGUGGGACUGGGCUGAUCACAGUUAGUACCUGAAUUUUUGGAGGACCUAAACUUUUCCUGGUUCUGACUCAAAUUACCAGAUGUCCUGGGUUCCUCAAGAGAAAGAGUAGCCUGUCAGGAACGAAAAUGUUCUUUGUAAGAAACAAAUUGGAGGAAAAGAAUCAGUGUAAUUUGCAGAAAGCACAUACACGACUAAGUCUAACAUGCAUUGAUUAUUUAUUGAGCAGCAUAAACAGAAGAGAGGCAUAGAUAAAGAAGAUAUUCCUUUCAUAUUUUUGUGAUUUUAUUAACAAAAAUUAACAAAAAGAAAUCAAAUCACAACAGUUCAAAGAACCCUACAAGAAGGAAGAGCAAAGAUUCGGAAUAGCAAGAAAACAAGGAAUAGAGCAACAACAAACAAUUUAAAAUUACUAUUUUGCAUAGCAAUAUACAACUCAUUGGAGGUAAGAAAGCGUGUUAUUCACGUAAACCAAGAUAAAGUGGACAAGAUAUAACGCACAGAUGGCAAACCUGACAAGAGAAAUAGCCUUGUCUAGAUCCAUCACUAGGCAAAGUUGGCGGGGCAGUGCAGGCAGAUUCUUCCUCUAAAUUUACUGGUGGACUUUCCAUGAGUAAACUAUUGUGAACUGAUUUUGAUAAAUCAUCAUUUUUAUCAACAAUUGUCUCAACACUGCCAGAAUGACAUCUAUCAUCAGAGCCCACCAAGGGAGAAGGAAUAGGUUUCUCUCUGCGCUUAGGGAAGAAAAAACUUGAAACUUUUCCUCUGAAAGAUGAUUUCUCAUUCUUAGACUUUGCAACCUCCUUUGUAGCAAUAGGUUUGUUAAUUUCGGAGUUGGAAGCUUCAAAGCUCAACCCAAUAUUUUCCAAAACUGAAGACAAGACUGGGACAGAUUUCGACCUUGAUAAAGUCAGGGGGGGACACUGACCAUCUCCAAUAUUUGUCCUACCAAUGGAUGAGCAGGCUGCUGGUGCCCUCAAUUCAUCGUCUCCUCCAAACAACUUGCUGCUUGAAGAAGUAAGCCCUCCAACACCACCCUCUUCUUUCUUCACCCCAGGAAUGGCAAGCAUCUCGCCCAAAGUGCUCGAGCUCCUAGGCAUUUGCAUUUGUUCUUGACCUGUCCCAUUAGAUGCCACCAAAGCCAACCUCUCUGAAAGCCGUUUCUUGGCUUCCCUAAUCACUGAAGACUCAGGUGAACAUGAUGCCCGGCCAAAAGAUGAGACUGAGAAAGGACUGCCAAAUCUGUUAACAUAAUCCCAUGAAUGUUGUGAAGUUGGAGUCACAAUCUCCAAGUCACUAUUGCUACCAUCCUCAUCUCCCAUGUAGUCAUUUUCUGACUUACAGAAUGAGCUCUCAUCUCCACCAUAUCCAUUUGAAUACAGUGAAGAUAACAAAGAAUCAUCCCUCCGGUGGCAACUCAGACUCUCCCGCAUCUGCUGAGUGGUUCCCUUGGCUACUUCUCUCGGAUCUAUGGCUUCAUUAUCUUCCAAACUUUCAUAAACAUCACUUUGUUGCGGUGGUUCAGGUGACAUGAUACGGGAGUUCACCUUCGUCUUCAUGUCAUGGGGCUUCCCAGGGCUAGGCUUUAAGACUACUAUUCUUGUUGGCUGAGACAUGCUUUCAGCCUCUGAAUUGGUGAACCUUUUGCUCCAAUAAGGCUUGUUUGUCUCCCAUCCACCCUCAUCAACUCUUGGAUAUUGCUGUUUUUUCACCAGUUUUUCACCUUGUGUCUCAACUGUUUUUGAUGGCUUUAAUACAGUAAUGCAUUGUGUCUGAGGUGCUGGAGGAACCAUAUAGAGCUCUCUUAUUUGCUUUGAGAAGAGGGAAUUUGGUUCUUCAAGAAAUUUGAUGAAUAAAUCUUUGUUUGAACUCAGAACCUCAAGAGCAUCUUGAAACUCCUUGGACUGAAGGAGCCUUUCAUCUGUAGCUAGACGUUUGGCUUCCAUAAAUUUCUGACGAACGAGAGCCAUUCGUUUCUCAUUCUGGUCUUUGUUGUAUCUUCCCUUCUGUAGAGGUUGAUCCUUGAUGCGGUUGGUUCUUGAUGGUUGUUGCCAGACUUCAAAUACGUCCCUAUAUUCCAUCUUCUCAUGGGCAUUCUCACAUGGCAUUGGCUUGUUAAAAUAGACAUCUUCCUGCUGCUUGUGACCCUGAAAUGGUCCUGUUAAAGUAGUCCUUGAAUAGCCCUCUUGUGUGUUCCUUUUGUUUGCAACUAACACAGGUUUCGUGGCUGGCAGAUCAUCAUCAAGACCCAUUAAUCUAGCAACGACACUAGGUGGCUUCCGAUUCAACUCUGUUUGUUUUGACAUCUCCUGAGCUAUCAGCAUUUUCACCAGUGUUCCGCCUGACUUCUUGAUUGAAGAACUCUUCCUCAAAUCACUAGCAAUCUGCACUGAAGUCUAAAUCAGAACACAGAAAAAAACUCCAUUAGAUAUGGAUUAUGUUUCACCUCAAGCAACACUGUCAAGGUUGCUUACUUGUUUGCCAUCAACAUAAAGUCCAGCUGGAUGCAAGGCUUUCUUAACAUCAGGCUGGUUUCUGUGAACUGGAGAGCCUGUUCAAUGGUUUAUCCACAUUAACAACACCACGAAUAUGCUCAAGAAUCAAUUAGCAACUUGGAUUGGUAUUCUGAACCCCUCCCACCCCCCACAAAACAACAAAAAAGGUAAACUUCAUGUAUAAUGAUGGAAAAAGCAAUAAAUUAAAAUAAAAGGCAAAAAUCAUCUUUUCUACAAAAACAUAUUUUUGCAAAGAAACUGAGUUUAGUCCAGAAAAAAUAUACUGAUUUAUCAGCUUAAGUACGAAGAUACAAUUAAAUUGUCCAAAUUAACAAAAAAAGGGCAAACUGUAAAAUCGAAACAGCUUCUGAAAAGCCCAUAAAUCUGAAAGCAAAAGAAAAAAAAGGACCAGACUGACCAUCUACAAGCAGCAAUUUUGAGCGCAGAGUUGCAUAAGCGAACUGAGAAUAUCAAGAAAAAAACAGCAAUCUACGAGGAUAACAAGGAAGAAAGGGCUUCAAUAAAAAUAUUUCAAUAACUUCAACUACCACAGAUUCAAACACAACACUUUACAGGAAAAUUAUGUGAAAUUAACAACAUCAUGAAGAGGAGUCUUAAAUACCAUCUCUAUGAGCUUUAUCAGUUAGAAGCUUGGUCCCAGCCAUGCCCGUACUUGACAAGUCAAAUAUGUUAAUCAUCCUUCCCAUACAACUCGGGAAGGGUUUCUGCAGGUCCUGCACCUUCCUCUGCUGAAAUCCACUCAUCACAGCACCUGUAGAUUGAAAUGGAGACAGAAGAGAAGCCCAUUAGAGAAAGUUCUUCACCAUCAAUCCAAUCUCAGAACUAAGUAAUCUAAAAUCACCUACCAAAGCUAUCAAGCAGAACAUUUCAGAUGAAUGAGAUAGAUAGCUCCCCCUCAAGCCUCAAGUUACAAGAAUAAUAAGCUAAAAUUAGGAAUUACAGAAUUAUGCAAGAUAAUAAAUGCAAAGUUCGAACAUUUAUAGCCAAAGAUUCUGUCUUUAAACCGUGAGAGAGAAAAGAUUACUAUAGAAAAGUAGGAGUUUUUUUGGAUUACAGUCACGAAACAGAGCAUUACAAGACCCACAUUGACGCUCUAAUCUCAUCCCUGUGCAAUUUAGACUUCUAUAAAGAUGCUGCUUCCAGCUUUUCUUUUUACCAAAAUUGGGCAUAAAUACUACUAAUUAUUGAUAAAUUUUCGUAAUAAGAACCCCUAAAAAAAGAUCCUAUGAGACAGUCUCAUGCUCAAAAAAUGGCAAGAAAUAGCACGUGAACCCUAGAUUCGAUGAGUACUGGGAAGACGCGAGAAAGUGAAUGAGAAAGAGGAAAAAAGAAUGACCGAGAAUUCAAAAAGACGGAGAUACGAAAAGGAAGAAAAGCGACAUAUCGAAUUUGCAAAAGCCCUUUUUUUAUAAAAAAAAAUAAACCACGAUCCAAGAAAAUGACGUACUCUCUCUGAAGGAAUCUAACUGUAAAAAGGCUGCAUUUUUCUCGGAAAGAUAAGGAAAUCAGAGAAAUUAAAAAGCGCAAACUAUUUACGAAAUCGCUACCAGCCCACCUCUCCAACCCCAAAUCGAAUGCGAAAUUUCAAAGAUCCACACAAAAGACACAAGAUUCCAACCCAAAGCCUACAAUUUACCACACCCCCCUCUGAAGCAGAAAAAGACUACAGCGAGGCAGAAACUGUAGCGGACUUCACCGGAACCCUAGAUUCGGGCACAAAAAAAAAACCUAACUCCAAACCCCAACUCCACAAUGCCGCAUUCCAUCAGAGAACGCGAUCGGGCGAGCUUCGGGAGCCGAGAUCGGAAGCCAGACCGGAAGAAGAAGGACGAAAAAAACGACUGAUACGCGACAUUACAAAUCUAAGCCAUUUUUAAGGAGAUAACCCAAUAAGCUUUCAUCGAUCCCCCAACCUCACCUUCUUUAAUCCCCCAAAAUAGCUCCUCCGCCGCUUCCUCCAUCACCACCGGACCAAGUCAUCUCCGGUCAAUUCUCCGGCGCCCGGAAACCUCACAGCCAGUGGCUCAGCCGCCGCGCUCUCCGUCAAUUUUUAUCUGUUUCGGUCCAUAUACCGGCUUUAAUGGUGGAACGGAUAAACUCACGGCAAUUAUUGCGCAAGUGCACGCUUUUCUCCAGCGGGACUGGACCUAUCCCAGCGCCCACCGAAAAGAAGGACGGUAUUUAUUUAUUAGUAUACGCGGUAUAAAAUAAUAUUAUUUAUAAAUGGAACUGAAUUAAUUAAUACGGAGAUGCUGAACCUGAGGGUGUCGGUGAUGGGGUGCAGAUUUCGGUGCAUUUUAUAAAUUGUAUUGGUCUAAUAAAUGAAUGCAGAUCGUUUUUUUUGUUGAGAGAAGCACCAGUCUGUGGGUCCCUGACUGUGGCUGUCUCUUUCUUAAAAAAAAACUAUGCUGGGGCCCGCUUGUCCAACUCACACUCUGGAUAUACUUCAACGAAAAAAAAAAAUCUUCGCAUCAAUGGGCUGAGAGAAAGACAAAAGUACGCCUGGAGCAAUAUCCUGUCAGCUAGGUGAAAAGCUGCCCGUGACACUCCAAAUUAUUUUAUUUUUUAAUUUAUUAAAUAUAUUCGUACUUUUCAAAUAUGAUUCACUUAUUUUAGUAAAAAAAAUACAUGAAUUACAGAAUUGGAAAGCGAGUUUUACCUAAAUAUUUUUAGAAAAGAAUUAUUGGCAGGAAACUCUUCCUCCUCCAUUCAAAGAGUAUUUUUAAAAUAAUUAGUCAUGUACGAUGCCAUCUAAUAUACAACCUCGUCGGCCUUUCUGUACAUAUGCUUCGCCUAAAAGACCAAUCUGUUACCGGCCACUUAUGAGUUGCUAUUGGGUCACCAAAAAAAAAUGCUAAGCAUUAGUGGGUGGUGACAUUGGAAUGCCAUCUUUUUAGGUACGUGAAUAAUAACUUUUACCUAAAUACAAUUAGCAUUCCUGUUUGCUUCCCAAAUAUGUUUAAUUUAAUUUUGGUUGUAAAUGCCUGCCAGCUAGUGCAACGCAUUUCCUUGAGGAUGAAGCAAGGAAAGGCUGAAGAAAUACCCUUUUUGAGGACUCAAUAGCCACAUCUGUUUAGAGGUAUUUAUAGUUUUAUACCUGGUUGCCCCAGAAAAAUAGCUGUUCCCUGUGCUAUAUUUCCUGUUUGUAUAUAUAUCAUAUUAUACAUCUUAUGCACUGAAUGGAGAGUCAGAGAAUAUUUGUAUUUAUAUUCUUAAAUAAGUUUCAAGGGGUUUGGGAGUUUUCUCUUUUCUUUCUCUUUUUUUGUAUUUUCAAUCUUUAUGUCAAACUACCAGAAGAUGUGGAUAGUAAUUUUUCCUGGCAUCAUGAGUUUUUGAAAGCUUUUGCUCUAUGAAUUUUCUAUAUAUAAAACAUUUUGUCCUAAUUGAAUUCAGUCACAUGUAGAAUUUUUAUAAAACUAUAGUAUAAUUUCUCUUAUAUUGCAUGAGCUUUUUAAUUGGUAAUUAUUUAAUUUACACAUGCAGGGAAUAAAAGGAAAAAAAUAGAAGACUAACAUAUGGACAGGUGGAGUUGUCUUUUUUCUGAUACUAAUGGCGGUAUUCAUGCACUUAUGGUAUGAGGAGCCAGUGUAAAAAAAAAAAAAAAGAAGGGUGCGUCCUUAGCGGUCAAGCUCAAAUUUCAUAAUUUAGAUCUUGAAACGAUUUUGUCAAAUUAAAAAUUUUCUUUUCAAAAAAUAUUUUGAUCGGACAUAUUUCAUAAUUCGAAAAGAAUUAAGCAGAACAACAGAAGAUAAAAUUAAUGCAAAAGUUGAAAUCUAUCUCAUGUAGAACUUUAGUUUUUUCGUGUUUAUUUCUAGCAGUCAUUUCUAUUUUAGAAAAGUAAAUUAUAUUAGAACAGAAGAAGAAUUCGAUCCGAACUAUGCAAAGGUAGAUCUUACCAUUGUAAAUAGAGGCUAUCUAUCUUAGUUUUAUGAUCAUUAAUAAAAAAGAUGUAAAUCCUAUUUUUAUAAUUUUUUAUUUUUUAUUUUUUUGAAAGUUUUGAGUUGAGUAGGUUGAAAUUGUUUUUUCUUUUCUAUCAUAUCAAUAAUUACUGCUUUUUUUAAAAAGAAAUAAAUUUACUAUAGUAUCAAAAGCAUUUUCUUAUUUAAAUUUUUGAAGUCCGCAUCUUACAAUAAAUAUGCUCUUGCAGAAAUGGGUUCAGGAACACAUAGGAAGAUAUUGAACUUCUACACUUCAUUAUUAUAUCUUAUUAUAAGAAAUAUAAUAUUAUUUUUAUGUCUCACAUCAAAAUAAAUAAUAAAUACUAUGAAUUAUGUUAGUUUAUUAUCAUAUUAACUAAUAAUAACCUAGGCGGCCUCCUAAUCUACGUUAACAAAAUUUAAAAGAGGUCAUAACCACAAAAUAGAUAUGAGCAGAAAUGACUUACAACAGAUCUUUUUCCCUUGCAUCUCUUAUAUAUCAACAUUUAAUUAUUUUUAUUUUACUUUCACAUAUAAAUUAAAAUUCUGCUCUUUCCGCAUGGGAAGCAAAAGUUGACGCCUCGUUUCCCUUGGCAAGUACGCACGUAGCUUCUUACGGCCGCCUGCACUAUUAAUUACAGACAAUUUAGUAAAAAAACUGUGUUUUGUUCCAUGCAAGAAGGUAAGGCUCAUUUCAUGCAGCAGAUGGGCAGGAAUUGAAAUCUAAACUAGUGGUUAUUACAAAUCGAUCAUUUUAACAUUUAAUUAUGAAAAUAUUUAUUAAGAUCGUAACUAUUAUAUCAGAUGAUAUCUUGAGAUAUUCUAAGUUUCACCAAUUGAGAUUGUAAGAGUAUAGUUUUGUUUACGCCGUCCAAAUCCCGGCAAAUGGAAUAUAAUCAAAUGUGAGAUAUGGGUUCACAUCCGUCGCGUGUGAGCUACUGUUGUAAAGUUAAUAAUAAUAAUAAUAAUAAUAAUAAUAAUAAUAAUAAAAAUAAAGCGAGAUAUGGCGUGGUAGGUUUUGCUUGAGAUUUGGUUAUAAUAGCCUAACCCAUAGUUGGUCCGAUCUGAGCUGGGCCAUUGCCAUCUUCUCCAUUGUAAAGUGGAACAACCAGGGUCCAUUGCAGGAACCUACUUUGAUAUCAGCGCAUGUUAGAUCCUGUCGGCAAGGGAUGCAAGAUGACAGAAAGGGAAACCGGCAAGUAUUAGGUUGCACCACAAGUGCAAUGCCAGUUUCAAAAUUUUAAAAUAGAUGGGCCGUCUUAUGAGCAAGGCCACAUGAACCCCUCAGUAAUUUGGAUUGGAAGUUUCCUCGGGCCAGAUAUGGACUUGGUUGGUACUCUAAAAUAUUAUAAAUCUCUUUUAUGUAAUUUUAGUACUUUAUAUUUAAUGUUUAAUUAAUGGUUUACUGUACCCACUGAAUAAAUAGAUGAGUUUUUUUUUGGCAUGAAUACUCUUCUAAAAACUCAAAUUUGUAUGAAUAACCUCUUCAUAUUUAUAUUUAUUUCUGUACCUUAAUAAAAUAAGGUUUUUGUACAAAUGCUCCUAAUAUAACAAUUAUAUUUUUUAGUUAAAAAUAAAAUAAAAUUUUAAAAUUACUUUUUUGUCCUCUAUCGCAAUUGCCUUAUCAAUAUUUCUUAUUGUACAUCUACCCAUUAAGAAUAUUUUAAUCAUUUUAAUUUGAAACCGUUAAUUUUUUUAAUGGCGUUAGAUGACAUGGUACGUAUGCAAAAAUAAGGAUAAAAAAGGGCAGAAUAGUAAAACAAGUGUUUUAUGAGGAUAUACAUGUAAAUAUCAAUUUUGGAAGAGUAUUCGUAAAAAAAUUGAUAUUCAGGAGGGUACUCAUAUAAAAAGCCCUAAAUAAAUUAAGUUUGAUGUUACUCGGUUCAAGGUAUGCUAUGAAAGGCAUUUUCUUUGGAGUAGAAUUUGCCCUAGCCAGGUGCCAAUAGUUUAAAACCCUAAACCCGAAACCCUAAAUCCUAAAAACCCUAAGACCUCUUUAGAGUGGGUCGGCUUGAAUCUUUAGCCUAGUCCGUAGUUCUAUGAUUUUGCUAGUUGCAAUGGCUCAAAUCACGAAUGUCUUGGGACUGCUGAGUAUUUAUAAAUAUAAUUCUAGCCCAGUCUAUAAUCCUAUAAUUUUGCUGGUUGUACUUGCUCAACCCCCGGAUCUCAUAAGAUUUUCAACCCAACCAUCCGAACAGGCCUAAGUGUAAAUGUAAAACCGAAGGAAGUUGUUGGAAAAUAUGUUACUCUUUCUUCAAGACUUUUUCUCAUUCACACCUGCUUUCUAGUGAACUCAUGUCUCCUGUCACCGGAAAGUUCAGAAGCAUCGCGAACAAUAGUUGUUAGUGAAAGUGCGCUUUUAUACCAAAAAGAAAAACAGAGAUACUCUUUGAUACACCAGACGUUUAAGAGCUGCAAUCUUGCCAUCGCGUGCCAUUGAAGCGAUUGGAUAAUUAGAAGGAUCCCACCAACCGUCCAAGCCAUACUGCGUCAGCUUAUCCCCAUGUGCACAAGCUCUCGACUAACCUAAUCCUCUCUCUCUCUCUGUCCGCCCCAAAUUUGGAAAACCAGGCUGAGAUCUGGUUUGGAAGGGGAAGGGGAAUUCGUCUGCCAAAUUCCAAUCUUUCCCUCGCAGGUUCUUGGACGUCUCUGGUUUUGCGCUUUUGGUGGAAUGUUUUAAGGGCCAGAAAUCUUGCGAAUGGGUCAGAACACAACGCUGCAAUUAGUUGACAAUGCUAUCGGCUGGCUUUGCCUCCUUUGCUACAUGGGACAAGAAAGUUCUAAACAGGGCCUCAGCUUGACACUGAAAAGCAGAUUAAUCCUGAUGUCCAAGUAGUCCGUUGCUAUAUGGAUCCUACUCAGUUUCUUCUGUUAGGGCAUAUAAUUCUCUUCACACCUUUAUGCAUCCUUGAUUUCUUUGUCGAUCAUCAUAACAUAUCAGAAGCAUUCUUCAUUGAAAUGAAAUCAGCUACAGGUUCUCUGUAAAUCAUCUUCAAAAAAAAUCAUUGUAAAAGACUUGUUUUAGCAGUUAUUAAAGCCUUCUUUCAUUUAAAAGGAAACCAUUGGCUCAUCAAUCCAAAAGCCUCAGAUAAAUCAUUGGCUCGUUAACCAUGCAGAGUUUGUGAAAGGUGCUGUGUGCACACAAUUUGCUGGCCUGGAUGACAGACCAUGGACUCUAAACCCAGCCGCCCACUGGGCAUGUAUAAGAGCUAAUUUCGGUAGAGAUUCUGAAUAUAGCAUCAGUUAGAAUCACUCCCUACGGUUGCCAAGAGGCACGAUCUCUGCAAAGGCAAAAUGCCCCCAUAACAUUUUUGCCAAGAGGAACUGUUUCUGGGCCAUGUUCAAUGGAAAAAGGAAAAAAAAAAAUUGUGGUCAUCCCAAUUUUGAUAUUCAACUUGCACCAUCUGCUCCUAUGAGUAUCAAAUCAUGAGCUAUCAUAACAUUUUGGUUUGCUUCCCAGUUUCUUCAUAUUUUUUUUUGGAUUUAAACCAUGGUCUUUUUACUGAUUGACAUAAGCUAAUACUAGAAUUAUACUGAAAAUUACACUGAUAAAACAUCUGUAUCCUCCAUAUAUUACAAAGAGACAAUGUAUGGCAUUGUUAUCUACAAAACUUUGAGCCAACACCCCGAGCUACAAAAUUGGUGGAAACAUCUUAAUUAAUGAAGCAGACAAUUUGCUUCUUCGAAAUCAAAAAAGAAAAAAAAAAGAUAAUGGAAGAAAAAAUUCUGGAUACCUUGUUAGCUGCCAAGAUGGCGACCGCAGCAUAGGGUGCAUCCCCUGGCCACACAUUGUUUCAUUGGUGCAACUUAACAGGUUCCUUGGGGAGUCUAGAUGUGCCGAAAUUACGAUGCUUACCGUCAGCUUUGUUGACGAGCCUGAAGCCUCGAAGGGGAAGUUCGUUGAUGAGAAGAGUCUCAAGCUGACUUGCAAUGCUCUUUCCUGGUACUACAACAUAUAGGAACUCCGCAUUUUGCAUGCCUUCCUUGGAACGAUGAGCACGAACGCGGCCCACUAGGUCAUCCGUCUGCAUCAAAGUUCAAGCCCUUUAGACAAUGAGAAAAACAAAAUGUAAAUUAAGCACGAGACGGGAACGUAACCUGUCCAACAUAUAAUUUCUUGUCAGGUCUGAAGAGUACAUAGAUGCUGGAAGUGCCCACAGUUGAGGGAGGAGGCUGCUCCCUAGCACCUACUACAACACACAUCACCUCUGCAAGCUCAGAUAUGCUCUUCUUCUUGUAAAGCUCUAACAACUUCUUCUGGCAGAUUAUGGUAACAGCACUCUCGACUUCCUUCUGUAAUAGUUCCAAGCUGCCAAAAGGAAGAAAAUCUAAACUAGUCCUCGAAGAAUCACUGAUUUCACCAAGACCACUUGCAUAGAACUUUGCAUUGAAAUGCUCAGCUUUUGUAGAAUUUGGAGAAAUGUGUACAUCAGUUACAUUCAUUGAAAGGUAUAGCUCUUCAGCUCUUUGGAUGAUUUUUUCAGGAAUGCCUUCCUUCUGGGCAGUUUCAAAGGCAAGACUCUCUCUACAGACUCCAUCUAUCAACUUCCAUGUUGGUCUUAUGCGGCCAUCUGCAACCUCUGUUCCCAUUGCUUUGUGGACAGUAUUUUUUGUGGCUAAAGGCAAGUCGAAAAUGCCAUGCAAAUGGGUUGAUACAAUGCCCAGGCAGCCAGUGCAAUCAAGCAUCUCAACAAAGCUACCAGCAAUACAGGUUCCUUUUGCAGUUUCUGUGCCUCUACAGAUUUCAUCCACAAGAACUAAGCUCCUUCGGGUAGCUCUAGUGAUUACGGAGCGCAUUUCCGACAUCUCAAUCUGGCAUAUUGUAAUAUGAUUAAAAGGACGUCAGAAGAUCUUUGGAUACCCUAUUAAUUUCAGGAUAGCUCAAAAACUGCACCAUGACGACAAUGGCCAUGCAAGACAAAUAUAUGAAGAGGCAAAGAAGUAGAACAAAUGGAAUGUCUAUUUAUUUUUAGGCAUCUUUCCAGAUCAUGUCUUAAUACAUGACAACCGGGUUUGACACUAUAUAGUAUUCUACAUGAUCAAUUUUCCCCAAUGGAUGUCCUGAUUAUGAUAACCAUGGUUUGAAAACUAGAAACCUACUCAGUAUGUCAGACGUGUGAGAAUGUAACAAUGCCCACAUAAGACCUGAACUUUUAAGAUGAAACAAAUUUUAAUGGUUAUCUUUCUGUAUAUUCAAUCUGUAGGCACUCUGCAUUGAGGUGUGUAAAAGAAACCAAACCCUAUAACAACUGUUAAAAAGAUAAACAACAUGACAAGCAGAAUAAGAAUAUAACACUGAACAAGAUAGAGAAGCAAAACUAGAAUUUUAGAGCUUUCUCAGUACCUGAAAUGAACUUUUCCCAUCAGCAGGACUAUCAUAAGCUUUCAUGUGCAGCAUAACAGAAUCAAAAUGAGGAAUGACAGCUGACUCAGCAGGCACCAUAAGCCCACAAAUUCCAAGCAAUGCAGCAGCACAAAUUGACCGAAGCAAACUAGAUUUACCACCACCAUUUGGCCCAGUCAGAAGGAAUAGUGAGUGCAUUUUAACAGUGUUCUGUAUGGCAUUGCCUUGCGCAACAUCAAACCAAUAAGGAGAUAAUCCUGAUAACUCCAUUAUGUUAAUAUUUCCUGCUGACUUAUCCUGCACAGAAUUCAAAAAUGAGGACGAGCGGAAUUGGUAGCUGUUAUGGACUGAAAUUUGAAAAAUAACACCAGGUAUAAGAAUGAAACUCCUCAUGGAUAUUAGUCAAAUGCCAAACAAACAAUCAGAUAGUUUUGAAAAUACAAACAAAAUAGGCAACUCUAAAUCAUUGUACAAUCCUUUAGCAUAUUCAAGCAUGCUCAGCUUGUAUUUUGUGUGUCUGACGUGGUCUUUGUUGUUUGAUUUCGUGCAGUGUUGUCAAUGAUAGCUGUUUGGCUGCUCGAUGCAACCCCCUAGGUGCCUGGGAAAAGUAAGCUACCCUGGUAACGAAUGUCUAAAGAGCAGUAGGGUAAAGCAGCCACCGAGAAUCUAUAGCAGCAACCUGGCAGCUUUGGUGUUAGAAAAGCAAUGGACCCUGAUGUAGAUCCCUCACAAGACGCUUAAACAUGCAACACAAUACAUGAUUCUGGUCAAAUGAAUCCGAUAGCAUGAAUUGCUUAUGUCAAAUCUAAAAUUGGAUGACAUCUAGGCUUAGUAAGGCACCAUAGACUCAUCACAUACAUGCAACUUUACUGGACAAAGAUCCUACAUAAAUGUGAUCUCCAACAAAUAGUUUCUUCUUUUUUUUUUUGCAUAUAUACUCAUACAAAUAUACCUUAUUGCAUAUUUACCCUUCAAAAAUCACUUUGAAUAAAUACCCCUCAAAUCUUUCUGUUUUUGCAAUGAUAACCAUCCUGUUACUCAAUAACUGUUCUAUAUGUACAAUGACCUGAUUACCCUUUUAUACUAAUAUUCAUCAAAACUGAUACUUUGUAGUAAAGGCUAAACUGCUAAACACUAAAUUUUUGUUAGGGGUCUCAGCGCAAAGGGGUAAUAUUGUCCUCUUAUAAUUAAAACAGUUAACUAUUGACACCGUAAGUCAAAAAUCUAAUGGGAGGGACAUGGUUGCAAAAGUAAGAUGAUUAGAGGAGUACAUAUGCAAAUAGUGCUUUGUGAAGGCUGAAUAUGCAAUAUGCCAUAUUUGCAGGGGUAUGUAUGCAAAAACUCCAAAUAACAUUAAUAAAAAACAGUGCAUGCACAGAAGGAAUACCUAGCAGCAGCAUCUUUACAGGAAACAUCAUUUUUAAUAUGCCCCAGAUUCAGUGUCAUAAGCACAGGAAUGGAUACUACAUAAUGGUAUAACUUUCAAAGUAUGUCAAUUAUUUAAUGCAACAAGGUCUGGUGACUUCAUAAUGUCAGAAGCAAAAACCAUUAAUAGGUCACUCUUGAACUGGAAACUUGCUGCUUUGAUUCGGAAGCAGAAUUUUUCAGAACUCAAAUUUCUCGACGAGGUUCUUGCAUGACUGCUUCCACAAGCAUUCAGGGAUUACUCUUUUACCCUUUUCACAUGAUGGUAUUCCACAGAGUGCAGUGUCUAAGAAACUUGACUCUAUUAUAUUUAAACAAAACUCAGGUGACAUCCUUAUGGUAUGAGAAUUGGAUAAGAAAUUGAGAUACUUGGAUGAACAAGGUUUCUAGCAUGUAAAGAUUGAUUACAAGGCAAAACUAGCACAUAGCAAGUUAAUCCGAAUCGUCCACAGCUACAAGCAACCUACAUAGAGCAUCUAAUCAACAGAUUAAGAUGCUUAAUAGCUGAUAACUUGGAAUAAUUCUUUUAUUUCAUAAAUUCUCUAGGCUCUAACACUUCUCUCUUACUAUGCGCAUUAGUGCAAGUAAAUGUAUACAUCCACUUACAAAAUUCUUAGAAUAACCUCAUCAUUGCCCAAACCAUGACCCAAACACACACACACACACACACACACACACACACACAUAUAUAUUCAUUCCCCUAUUUGAAGCUUGUCAUGUCCAACAAUACCCAAUAACCCAAUUUAGCUCAAGUUGCUAAAAGGGCUAGGGCAAACCCAAGGUCUGCUGAACCGGUCGGAACCGACCGAUUCAGCCUGUAUCGUACCGGUCCCGGCCAGCACCGGUACAGUACAACCAUAAAAUUCGGUCGGAACCGAACGGUUCCUUGCCCAUACUAGUGCGACGCAUCGGAACUCGCGGGGAAGAAGAAGAGGAAGAAGAGAAGAAAAGGAAGAGGAAGAAAAAAGAGGAAGAAGAAGAGCGAGAAGAGGAAGGAGAGAAAGAGGAGAAGACUACCUAUCAAAGGGGGGAAAGAAGACCUCUCUUGCGGAGAUUUUUGUCUACCGAGCCUCUUUCUUCCUCCCGAGCACUUCACGGGGAAGAAGACCUCCUUUGCUCGCGGGAGAAGGGGGAAAAAAGAGAAGAGAGGAGAGAGGGGAAGAAAAGAGCGGCUUGGGAAGAAAAGGAGAGAAAAAAAAGGAACGAAAAAAAAGAGAGAGGCCAGGGCAGCGCACCCGCGCGCGUUCCAUGCGCAGCGCGCGGGGCAGCGAGCCCACAUAGGCAGCCCACGUGGGCUUUUAAUGCCACUCUGUGGCAUAUCGCAUUUUUUUUUCCUGAACCGGUUCGGUACCGGUUGGAACCGAUACCAAAUCGGUACCCGUCUCUACCGGUAAGUCGGUUCGGUCAGUACCGCGUCCCUUAGGCAAACCUGAGAUAUUUGUCUACAUGCUGGUAAGGUCACGAUGUAUUCACAUCAGCUUCCGCAUCUCUUUGAAUCAUUAGCUCCUUAACCUUAAAGAUCAUGAUUAGAAAUUGUGAUAAUUGUUCGAACUACAUGUCUCAGAGAUUGCAUGUGGUUCUCCGUAGAAACUGCAUGCAUGCUGAGAAUUACUCAUGAUUCAUGUCUCAGAGAUUGCAUGUGGUUCUCCGUAGAAACUGCAUGCAUGCUGAGAAUUACUCCUGAUUUCUUAUUCAUGUAUGACACCAUAUUCUCGUGGUAAUUAAUCAAAAAGAAAAAAAAAUGUCCAAGAAUUCGCUAUAACCGUUAGUCUGUGCUUCAUGCCAUCAAGUUUGUUUUAAGCAUCUCCAAGGCCAAUUGCUAAAGAUAUUCAAACUUGUCUGCUCAAUGAUUUUUUUUAAAAUUAUAACUUAAAUUUUUUCAGUAAUCCUAAUAUAGGUUGAAAACCUAGGUACUGGUUGGAAGAAAAUUAAUAAGGCAUUAAAACAUGUUACUAUCAGAACAUACUGAAUAUUAAAACUUAUAGAAGAAACUUGUCCUCUAAUAUCCAAUGUAGUUAAAAAAGUCAUACCUCAGGACUCUGAAAUUCCUUGAGCUUAGUAAACACCCAUUCCCUUCUUCGGCCUUCACUGCAUUCAAAAGAAUAAUGAACACAAAAAUGCGUACAUUGUCAUCAUCAUUUUGGAGAAAACAUCUACCGAGGUAUUAGCAGGCCACAGGCACAAAAAGACUUUCAUCUUUCAUGAAAAUAAUAACAAUAGCACCAGGAUAUGGUAAGCAUGAGCCCAUAUCAUGAGGUGAUACCAGUUAAGGCAAAGACUGAGGUGGUGGUUGGCAUGAACUGCCAUAUACUGUGCCAGUGUCAUAUUGAAACAUGGCACCGCUGUGUGCCAGGUUGUCUGCCUGUACAUGCUCGCAAGUGCUGCCUCACAACACAGUUGGCACAGCACUGACCAUGCCAGUGUCAGGCUUCCAUGCACCAACAAGCGAUACCUUAAUUGUCCUGUGAAGAACUCAACAUGAUAUAUUCCACAAACACAGCAUGGAUGGCAAAUGGGAGUAGUUAACCAUGCAACCACAUUAAAUGGAUACUCAAGUAUUUAUAUGGUGAGUAGCACCAACCUGGGAAGAUUCAUAUAAUUUUAAAACCAAUUCGUCAAUUAUAUUGGACGACAAUUUAAUGCAAAUGUUGUAGUUUCCUACUGACCAUGAAAAGUAAUCAAGAUUUUAAAGACCAUGGGAUGGUGCCAUCUUGGUUUUUCCAUGAAACGAGACACCCCAUGUCCCGAAACUUGGGACAGUCGAUGCCCUAUCCCGUACUAGUCCAUUUUCCAACUCGUCCUAUCCGACAUUCACGAUGGUGGGAUGCCCCGAACCACCAAUAUUUAAAACCUUUGAAGUAAUUGCACCAUGACAUGUAUUCACAACCACAUAUGCUUUGGUGGUCGCAUGGGGGCGAGGUCAGGAGGUUCACCUUAGUGUCUUAGGGCCUAUUACUGCCCAAAGAGCCUGCCCAACCAACAAGUACAAUAGCAUGCAUGUAGACAUAUUUUGGAUUUGGUACAAAAAAAUUCACUGUAUUUCUAUUGGUAAAAUUGUUUAAUGAAAUUCACAUGAAACAUUGUGAGACAUUUAUUUGGAUAGUUGAGGUGUAUUAUAUAGUUACAAUGAUUUUUAAAUUUGAAGUUCAACAUUCGAUAUCUAGACCGUUUAGCUAGUUUGCCCUAAAUAUGAAGAAAACAUUCGGUAAAGACGAAGAUACACGAAAUCAAGGUUUAAAUAUUCAACCAUGCCAUUAGUGCCAACUGGCAUGUAUCGUAUCGGGCCAAUGUUAACACUCACAAUAGGUCGGCAGGGCACUGAUUAAAUCCUUUUUUAAUUCUUUAAAAUAAAAUGAUUUUUUAUUUUAAGUUCUUUUUAGCACCUUUAUAUUCAGCAUGAGAGAAUUGUGCCGGGUCAAACACAAGCCAACACUGCUAGAGCACAACAGUAUUUAAAUUCUUAUGGAAACCUUAAGCGAAAUAUAACUUUGUAUUUGAGACUCAAGGUUCAAUACACCUUAAAGAAAUUACUUGGUUUACAUGCCUUUUACGUAUAAGGAUACCAAAAUGUCUUGUAGACCUCACAAUUUGGAAAAUACAUGGACCCUUCCAAUAAUUGAUUACUUGAAUGCAAAACUUGUUGAGAAAAAUUUCAUAAAAUACAAAAAUCUAGUCUAGUUUACAAUAACUUACCAGUUUCUACUACACUAACCAAAGGGUACAUAUUUCUCUAGAUGAACAUAAAUUGAAAAUGCUGAGCAGAAGCAAAAAAAAUAAAAAUUCAAAAAGGUACUAAUGGCUCACCUAACAUGACCAAAAAGUGCCUUCGCUAUUACAAGCAACAUGGAAGAGUAAACAAGAAUGUUAAUUUUUGUCUGCAAUUCACCAGAAAGUCCUCUUAAUAACUCCAAAACUUUGUUCUUGGCUUUAUCACUGGCUUCAUGAUACCUGAAAGUAGUGCCCAUCACUGCUAACAAUCAGUUAUCACAAUGGACAUAAAUAUGAAAUCCUACGCACUUAGUAAACCACAUACAAUUACCGUCAAGAAAUUGAACUUGAAUGAUAUUAGACAUUAACUUCACCUGUUUAGAGCAUCCUCCACUUUUAUUGUGGUAAACCAUUCCUCUCCAACCUUUCUCCCUUUUGAAUCCGUAGCAUGUCUGAGUUUCUUGAUUUGUUCUUCCCCAGGGGUGUUAGCCCACACAGCUGGCAUGAAACGCUUUCCUUUAAACCAAACAGCUUCAUGCUCUCUUGCAUAACAUAUUUCACCCUUUGGACCUCCAAGAGGAGAGACGACAGACUUCACUCUUGAAACAAUUGGAAAAAAAUCUUCCAUGACCUAUAAGAACAAAGUAAGUCGAAAUAUGACAGGAGCAAUAACAGAAAGGUGUUGUUUCUGCAAAAGGAAAACAAUUUUAGAUGACCAUACCUAUUCAUGAUAGGGAUGUUAAAGUUGGCUAAUUUACAAUACCUCACUAGUAAUGUACAAAUAAAUAACCAAGACAUUAACCAUUCAUGAUUAAUCAAAAACCAAUAUUAUAAAACAGGAGAAAGAUACGAAAACUAUCAGACAUUGCCCUGACUGACCUUAUCUGUAAGUUUUCUUAUUCCCACCUACAUCUUGCAGAACACAGCAAGCGCUAGUUGAUUUGAUAUCUACAACAUUUACAUAAAUGCUUUAUUAUUUAAAUAGGAAGGACCAUAUUGUAUGAACAUAUUAAAUCUGCUCCUUUUAAUAUUUACCCCACCACCUCCUUUCGAUCUGCGCCUUUAUUCUCCUCUGAUAAGCUUCUUAUUACUUUAUCAUUAUCACGGUACCAGACAGUAACCAUGUAGUUUCCAAAUACACCAGAAUUAGAAGAAAGGAGAAAGAAUGCUAAUCAAGGUCUGCGGUUUCUGAGUCGGAUACCAUACUGGUCCUUUCCAAAUGCACCAGAAUUAGAAGAAAGACUGCUAAUCAAGAUCCACAGUUUCUGAGCCAGACACUGUACCGGUCAGGGACCAGUACGGCAUAAUACUGAACCAUAUCUACCAACACUUGGUAUGCAAACGCAAACUAGUUCAGAACCAGUACAGCAUUUUUUUUCUUUUUUCUGUUUUUUUUUUAAUUUUGAAGAUUAUGUUGAGAUUUAUAGAUGUUCAAAUUAUGAUUUUGAGGAUAUUUUAACAUUAUUUUAUGUCAUAUUGGUCCUGGGAAGCCAUAUGAUUGCUUAAUGGAUACAACUGUAAUAAUUAGACAAACAAUGCAUAGUUUUGAUCUUGAAAAUACAUAUAGCAAAUUGUAAAACACCAUGGCUGGUUGGACCAUGCCAAGCUUCGAAGAAGGAAGAAGCUAGCAGAUUCAUGAAGUUGAAUAACUGGAGAUAGUACCGAAUUUUAGUUAGAUUUCUAUAUCUAUAGUUGAAUAAUUCUAACAUGUUUACUUAUUAUGGUGACCUAUUUCUAGUAUGAUUUUAUAUCGAGUGUCCGAGUUUAAUGCUUGAAUUAGGGGUCAAUCGUACAUAUGUUUCUAAUGUAUUGUAUGACGGAUGGCUUUUGACACGAAGCGUUGAUCAUCCUUAGAUCUACAGCAUAUCAUAAAAUCAUGCUAAAAUACAAAAUUUUGGCAUGAUUUCUACCGAUUUUACCAAUUCUUGACCUAUUUUGGGCAUCAAAAUGAAAAAAAAAGUAAUGCGGAGAAAGGAAGGGAUCAUACCUGAUUUUGCUUGGAUUUGGGCUCAAAAUGGCAUAAAAAAUCCCUCUUCCCCAAAUUUUUCACCCUGAAAUCACUCUUUUUGAGGAAGAAAAGGGAGAAGGCCAUAGGGUGGCCGACUCCGUAUCCCCCUUGAGGUGAUAAGGGGCUCGAACCGUCUCGAACUACUCCAAACCGGGUGGCUCUACUCAGUUUGGGCCGCUUCAGCCCCUUAUCGACCCAAACAACCGAACCAGGUGACUCGGGUCAGUAAGACCUUCCUUGCUACUAAUGCUGUGAGUUAAAAAAAAUGCAAAGCGAUCAUCUAAUAAGUUCAACUUCAACACAAUAUUACUUUCUAGAUCCAAUGUUUUACCGUUACCAUCCAACUUGGCAGAUUUUUCUUCCCUAUUUCUUCUACAACAUGUUGUUCCCAGCAUUUACCUAUGAACUUUAAUUAAUAAUAAAAAGCAAACGACACCUUUUUUUAAGAAAUAACUUAAAAAUACAUAGAACCUAGCAGGUCGAUUAAGAUAUCGUGCUGUUCAAUGGUAUUUAAUAGGACCAUUCAGCCUUUUACUUCUAUAAUUUAUUUGAAAGAGACCAAUGUCCUAAUAUUUUCUAAAAACUUUUCACCAAGUCUUCUCAGAUCUCCUUCCAACAUCCAUUAUACCUUCUUUUAAGUUUUAACCCUUAGUAUCACAAUUCCCUCGUCUCGGCAAAACCAGACUUAUCACUAUGUUCACGACCAACAUCCAUCAAUUCUAGCUAUGAUUUUUCAUCUCUAUAAAACUAGAUGGCCAAUUUCAUAUCUCACAGUUAAACAUGCACAUCUUUCAUAUUCCACAACCAACUGUUGAACUAUAUAAUAUCAGAGUGACUGCACCCUUUCCUGUGUCAUCGAUAUCCUCUCAUAUUUUUUCACAAAUAACAUACCUACUUUGAUAUUACAGGGCAACGGGCACCUCAUAAUUCAAGAAACUUCUCUAAUCUCUCUCAAAUCUACCAGUAUCAUUACCAGCAAACCCUGUAGCUUUGCAUAUUUAAACUUAGAUGAAUGAAUAAGACAAAUUUGAACCUCUAGAACAUCCAAAAAUGAGAGCAAGAAUGAAGGGAAGAGAAAAUAUCAGGACUUAAUCAAAAGAAGACAAUGGAAGGCUGCUCCUGAACUUAAUCAACUCUAGAGGGUGCCAACUGGUUGAAUUGGCAAAGUCACUAGUAAUUUGAUAGCAGGGACCUGGGUUCGAUCCCACCCUCAUCCUGAUAUCAUCCAGCUUCCUCCCAUCAUAGUUCUCAAAAAGGGGAAAAAAUCUUAGACUUAAUAAUAUCUAUUUUUUUCCUCACCCCACGAUGAAAAUUUGAGUAAGUUGGUGUCACAAUUUUGCACUGUUCUCUCCGCAUCCUCAUUUACAGCUUACAACUAGUAGUCAGAAAGAAAGAAGCUACUUCCCUGGUUUCAAUUUAGCUGACACUUGGUUGAAAGAAACUUCAGCUUAGAGUGGUGCAUUCAGAAUCUCUUUGAAAACUCAUCCCUGCAUCUGCUUCCUCAGAGUUUGUUUACUGAAAUUUUUUUGGAGACCACUACCUGGUACCCACACCCAAAUCCACUCCCACACCUGUGACAGCUUAUGGUACCUGAGGUGUCAUAUAGUUCACCCCCUCCUGCUAUUUGUGGUUCAUUGUAAAGCAUCUUCUUUGUAAAAAAAAGAAGCAAGAAUACACUGAAACACAUCAAGAGCCAUUUGAUUUUCAAUAUAUGCCAUAUCAUCAAUCAACGGCUGCUCUUUCAAUGUAAAAACACAUUUGUGAUUCCUUUGCAGCCACCAAUUCCAUCAUUUGGUAAAUUAUGCACAAUACAUUUUAUUAGGGCUGCAAAUGUGCCUGGUCAACUCAUGAGCCAACCUGGUCUCCACCCAAUUAGGCCUAGCCCUACUGAAUAUUUUAGACCUGCGGAGGGUAUGUGUGCCAAAAAAAUAACCUGUUUGAGAUAUCAGGUUGGGUUUGGGUCAUAUGUAUUCAUAUCUGACUUAGAGUCAACCAGAACUGUGUACUAACGAGAUCUAAAAUAGGUCAACCAUUAUAUGACUUAAGCAUAUUCAAGAACCUACUCAAUGCCGUGAAAGUUUGAAAGCAUAUGCUCAAUAUUUUUCCUUUUUAAAAGUGAGGGAGUUAGGUGUAAGAGAAGACUAAACUAGGAAACAGAUCCUAAGGCCUAGUUCAGAAUUGGGAAUCCUUGUUUUUGGCAUAAGGAUGUGCUAAACCAGGUGGGUCAACUCAUAUCGGGGCCUAAUUUCUGUUCAGGAGAAAUGCUGUCAUGCCCAGAAAUUAUUGCAGUUUUGUUGUUGUCUGUAUUGAUGCUAAGAACAAUAGAAGAAAAAUAAUAAACCAGAUGGGUAAGCUGAUAUCAGGGGCUUGCGAUUUUCUUUGCCCUUGGAUCGUUUCCAAAUGAUUUUACAAUCAACAAUACUAUGACAUAAUAUUCCAUAAUAUAUACCCUAACAUAACAUUACAUCAGAAUAUGGUAUAAUAUGAAAUUGUAUAGUAAUAUUAUAAAAUGAUAAUACUAUUAUUAAAUAUGCCAUACUAUUUAAAUUAUGAGGGGCAUUUCUGGGUUAAAGAAAAUCAAAUGGGUUUAAACCACCUGGGCAUAGCCAAUGCCAGCCCUCUCCUGAUAUGGACCACACCCCUAAGCCCAAUAACCGGAUCGCAUGUUUGGCAGUCAUUCCCAGAUUGCAUGUUUGGCGGUCAUUCCCAGUUCAAAGAUGGAUUAAAUAGGUUUAUUCCCAAUCCAAGCUGCAUUUGAAUGCACUAGGCAUUUGACCUUAAAUACAUAUGAAGAGAUUAAUCAAAAUUUUACUUGCAACCUACCCCUCAAAACUAGCAAUCCAUUUUGAAGUAUUAAUACCUGUGAGCAAGGUACGCCAUCUCGGUAUCGAGCCACGUACCAGUGCCACCCUGUCACUAUAUUGGUACGCCCGGCACGGGGCUGGUUCGGUGUACCAAGUGCCGGUACGCCCCCGACACUGUGCAGUGACACCGAACCUGUACAAUGCAAUAUCCCCAUACCGUCCAGUUCGGUACGGUAUGGCGUAUUGUGCCUGUGAGAAUGAUUGCAUGAAAGCUUUGAGGACUUGCGCGAGCGUAUGUUUAGUCCCACAUUGGUUAUUCGCUAGGUAGAUUUUGAGUACUUAUACAGGAUCAAGGAACCCAAAUAAUAACUUCCGGCUAGCUAUUUUGGGUGAGGUCCUGGGUUAUUACAAAUGGUAUCAGAGCGAACCUGACCCAUAACCUAUGUGGACUAGGAGAUACUGCAGCACGGAUCCAUUGAGGCUGACCACAGGCUGAUCGUGGUGUUUGUGAUUAGAUUUGAAUGAAUUUGAACCCUUAGCCUGACGAGGACGUUAGGGCUUAAACGGGAAAAGUAUGUGAGGUCCCGUGCGGGCGUGUUUAGUCCCACAUCGGUUAUUCGUUGGGUAGAUCUUGGAUACUUAUACAGGAUCAAAAAAUCCAAAUAAUACUUUCUGGCUAGGCAUUUUGGAUGAGGUCCUGGGUUGUCACAAAAGCAUUACAAAAAAAGAAUUGAUUCAACUGACUGUCAUGCUGCGCUUGAAGAGCCCCAAUCAUUUUUAAGAACUUUUUUCUUGCAAGGUUCGCCAUACCGACCGUACCAACGUACCGGUGCGGUCCGGUACCGAUACGGUACCGAUAUCGAACCGAGCCGAACCGAUACCGUACUGAAAGUGCCACAAUGCAUAGCACUUAGCAUGUGGCUUUAGCCACGCGCUGUCUUCCAUGAAGAACACCUCGUACUAGUGCGAACCGGCUCGGUUCGCACCAAUAUAGGUAUGUAUCGAAUGAACCGAGCCGGUACAGGCCAUGAACCGAUCGGUUCCGACCCAAAUUGGGUCAAAACCGAUUUCAAUAGCCGUACCGUACUAGUGUCGACCGGUCGGUUCAACAGACCAUAUUCUCUUGUCUAGUUACAUAUCCACAAAAUUUUUAGAGAACUAGGACAAUGCUCCAUUUAAUAUUUCCAUAUUUGACCUUGGCGUGACAAUCUGCUUUCUAUUCUUGUAAUAUCAUUAUGUUAAUCUUGAAUCACAAUACCUUCAUCGAGUCGAACAUGCGUGCUGCAACCAUUUGACUUCAAGGUGCUCGUAAGGAGGAUAUAAAGAACCUUUGCAACAGAUGAUGUUUUAUAAACAUCUGUUUAAGUGUCAUCAGAUGAUAUUUCCUUUGGGAGACAGGCUAAUGAAAUGGGAAUUCUAAUUUUAGUUAAUUAACCCAACAGAACUUGAAAAAUCUAGGAGUUUUACAAGGCUGCGCUCUCAAUAUUCCAGAACAAUGAAGGUACUGUGAUUUGAUAAAUGAAAAUAUUUCUAAUCUAGCAAUUUUAAUACCAAACAAGUAUUUAAACAAAUGCUAAAUUUACUGUUGUGGAUUGAUUUGAUAAAUUUCAUUCCACCCUAGAGUUGCCCAACAUCAUUUUUAGUAAUUACAGUGGCAAGUGGAAGGAUUAGAAGUUUAGAACAGAAGUAAUCUAUGAUCAGUUCUGCUUCUGCUCUAAGAUCGUAUUCCCCUGCUCCAUACCUUUGGUAUCAAAAACAUAAAUUCUUGGGACUAUAUAAUGCAAUGCAACCAUGAAGAUGUACUAUUUACAAUAACUGUAAAUAGUUGUAUAAGUUAUUUGUAUGCUUGUAUAUUAAGUUUGUCCGCUAAGCUAAGGGGUCAGGAUAAUAAGAUAUUUUGUGCUUAUAUCCACUUAAUAGCUGAUUGGCAUUUUCAUUCAAUUUAAACCUUGUUCCUCAGGCUGCAGCAUUCAUCAUUCUUCUUAUCUGAGCACAAAACAGCUUAUACAUAACUCCUUUUGCAUUCUAUAAGCAGACUGCAGAUAUGCUCUUUUAUGUUUGGAAGUUAAAAUAGAACAUACUUUAGUAUUCAAACUCAAUAAGAAAGGAGCUCCAAUUCAUAAAUUAUAUAUCAACACGUACUUUUCAGCAUUGUGUCACUUUGAGGAAUAUUUUGCUAACAAUAGUAACUUCUGGAUAUUUUGGUCCAACCUUAUGGUUUAUAUCAUAUAGAGAAAACUGACCACCCCCAGAAUUAGAGUCCCCUUCCCUUUUAUCUGAAAUGUUUUUUGUCCCUCCACUUUAUUUAGAUUAAAAGUCAUUUUGUUACCACAUCUCAGUGAUACCACCUUCAUCUUACUUCUCAAUGGAGUUACAGACGGAGUGCUGCUCACAAAUGCAACAAAAAAGAAAAGAAAAUUCUCAACAUGGAAGAACUUCUAUCGGUAUUAGUAACUACCAAUGGCCCAUUUAUUCUCAAAUAUAUGUAGUUGAAGAUCUCACUUAAACUUUUAUAUAUAGCAUAAGACAGUGGAAGAUACUACUCUUAAUUCAGAAACCUGCUACUGCUAUUAUAACUAAUUUAUAUGCAGGGUGAUGAUGCAGAAUGAUAUACAAGGCACAGUUUAAUAGUUGACUUUCAUUUGUGUAUGUAUAUAUAUAUAUAUAUAUAUAUAANNNNNNNNNNNNNNNNNNNNUAUAUAUAUAAAGCUUGAUAUGAAAAGCAUGCUGAAAUAGAAAGACAUUGAUGGAUCCAAAACCUACUGCAACAGAUAAGGCCUUGGCAGCCCUCUCCACUUCUGCAAAUGCCUCCUCUGCAUGGAUCCUCUUCACACGGCCUCUCCAUGAUGAUUCCAUAUCCUCAAAGAACUCUCUAGGAAUGAAUUCGAAUGAAUUUAUUUCUUGAUCACUUUCACCACUCAAGGAGAUUAUUUCACCUAUCCUUUGUGAAACCAAACUGCAUUCAUUCACCUAACGAGGCAACAAAACAAAAGUAAGAAUUCCAAAAAAAGAAAAUCCAUAUCAGCACCUCUUGUGUCUUAAGAUGGCAUACAGUUUGAACAAAUAAAAGCAAAAUAAGUAUAGAAUUAACCUUUUAAGUAGGGACUACAUUAUAAAUAACAGAAUAAAGAUAAAUAAUCUGCAUAAUUUGAAUAAUAAGAAAUGGUUCCCAGCUUUUCAUCUUAUGACAAAAUAUUCAAGCAGGGUAGUUUAUCUAAUGUUGUGUUGGUUGUGCACAUCAAGGCAUAUCCAAGAUGGCUUGAAAUACAGUGCUUUUGCAGGUGGUUCUCGGCUUCUGCUCCCUGGUCCACACAUAUAGUUAAACAGUUUCUUGUAACCAUGAAUUGAUGGAUCAAACUGGGAAGGGCUACUCAUUGUUACAACCUACAAUAGCCUACAGCUAGACUACCUUAAAAAAGAAUGUCGUGCUGGUAAGUUGUUGAUUGAGGACUAAAUUAUAUUUCAAAUGCAAAGAACAACAUAACCAUAGCCAACAUAUGCUAACCAUCAUCUGUAGGGGUGAAAGUGGAUCGAAUAAUAUCCGUUCCGAUCCAUUUUCGUAUCCAAAAUUAUCCGGAUAUAGAUAAAAAUUUGAGCAUCCAACUAAUAUCCAUAUCCAUAUCCAUAUUCGUCAAAGAAAAAUGGAUAUAAAUAUGAUAGACAACUAUCCAUAUCUGACUAUCUGAUUCCAUUUGUAACCCUAUUUAAUUUUAUGUAACAUUCAUAAACAAAGAUAUACAAAUAAUAUUCAGAUCUUAAAAUUAAUUCCUUAAAGGAAUAGAUUAGUGCAUUACCUCUUUAGAUCACCCUUCCUUGGACCUAGUCGAGUGCCUGACGAUCUCAAUGAAAUCUCGAAGUAGAGUCUUCGACGGAGCUUCUCUUGGAACUUCUCCCGACAAAGAUCUCAAUGAAAGCACCAGUGUUGGCCCGCGGUUGUUGCGGUCCCAAACCCCGCGCCAAGGAUCCGCCGAGGGAGAUGGGAUGGUUGUCGUGGGACCGUCUUUGGGCGGGUAAUGUGACUAUCUCUUGCUGCCUCGAAAUCCUUGUCUAUGCUCGAAGAUCCUAUCUAAGGGCUCGGCAAGAAGCAUCACACGAUAUGGAGAAGAAAACAAUGAAUUCAAUUCCAAAAGACAACGCAAACAAGAACUCUAGUAAGGACGGGAAGGGUCUAUACUAGCCUAAUACAAUCUAGAGAGGAUUGAUUUAUCCUACUCUAGCCCAAGUCUAACGCCUAACCCCUAAACCGAAAAUAGGCACAAGUGCCUCCCAAGCCUUGCGGCCGACUCCUUAAGGGACUUACAACUCAAAUAAGCAAAUACAAUGAUCAAAGAUAUGUCUCACAAAAGGCCUAGGACUCCCUUAUAUAACCUAAGACUCAUGUGCCAUACAUGGCUUAUUGACGGGGUAAUUGAAACUACCUCCUAAUCAUAUGGGGAGAAAAUUCAAAUUCAAAUUCAAACUUCUCCCAUGUGGGUCACAUGCUGACAAUCAAAUUAAGAAGGUGAGCAUGAAAUAAAGUUCCUAAUCAACCGCAUGAGGAGAAAUUCAAAUUCAAAUUCAAACUUCUUCCUUGCGAGUCACAUGCUGAAUGCGCGUGUGAUCUUCUUAGGCCGUGACAUGUGUCCUCCUUCAGCGGAUUGCUGAUGUGUCGCGCCAAGGAGAAAUUCUUCGGUUGCACUUGGGCGCAUAAAAAAUUUCUUCCUUGUUUGGCGCAUGCUCUUGGUUGGCAUCCCGCGGAUCCUUGUUUGAAAUCUCCCAUGUGCUGCACAUGGGCGCUGAUCUUUGGCCCGCUGAAUCUGGGCCUUGCUCUCCUGGAUCGAAUGGCCAUAGAAGAGCCCUGGGACUCCUUCACGGAUUGCUAAUGUGGGCAUUCCCGGAAUGGGGGGCUUUUCCAUUAUGCCCCCACACAUGGGGCCUUCCGAUGGUUGCCACUUGACUAAGCUUGCUGCUGCCCGCGGCUAGCCUUGAUGCACGUUGCGACAAGUGUUCUCCUUCCUUGUUUGGCCAUGCACACGGAUUGCUGAAGUGGUGCAUGCAUGGCUUGAUGAUCAUUGGCCUGCUGAAUCCAGGCCCUUG
Molecule: long non-coding RNA, 70756 nt
Filed under: Phoenix dactylifera (date palm)
Lineage: Eukaryota; Viridiplantae; Streptophyta; Magnoliopsida; Arecales; Arecaceae
Description: long non-coding RNA (PDAC_LNC005554)
Source: RNAcentral